This 56438-nucleotide long non-coding RNA is filed under the name Aquilegia coerulea. RNAcentral's name for it is "long non-coding RNA (ACOE_LNC001231)". Lineage: Eukaryota; Viridiplantae; Streptophyta; Magnoliopsida; Ranunculales; Ranunculaceae. The record is from RNAcentral.
CCAAUUUUUCCAUCACCUUGUGCAGAGAAUCAGAUCGCAGACACAUUUGACAUCGUUGUCCAUUAAAGAAGCUAUGAGGAGAAUUUGCAUCUUGUCCCAGCUGUAAUGCCUUGAAAAUAUAAAAAAAAAAAAGGUUGGUUGAGCACCACUUACCCUGGACAAUCACGCAUAAGAUACAUUCAUCAUGCAAAAUGGGAUGAAUAUAUGAGGUGCAAAAUCAAAUUGGCCUGGAUGUGCAAUUCUCCAAUAAAAACGUUCAUUUGCAAUGAUGCAACCUCCAAACAAUAUUUUCAAGGAAACAUCUUUCAGAGACUCGUAGGGACCAGCCUGCAAUAUAACAAGGCAGUGCUUUGAGUACGAUAUGCACAUCACACCAGAAAUGCUAUUCAGAGCUGAAGAAACUCGCAUUUUGUCACUUGUAGUACAGCAUAAAACUUCGAAUCUGGAGAACUUCACUCUCAUGCUUGAUUGUGAUUUGAGUUUUACAUUCUUUAUGAGUAAGUUAUAUUAAUCUACUUUUCACUCAAACAAGUUCACCUUCUACCAAGCAAAAAGAAGUGGAUUGGAAGGUACAAUACUACUUGAAAGGGUGUUGCAACAAGCACUGAACAAAUUUGUACUGGUCAUGUACGAACUUAUCAACCCCCAGGGCAAGAUGUUUUCGAAGUGUAAUUACAUACAAAUGAUACAAAAAAAGGCAAAUUUUAAGUCAACAGCUUGUAUGUUAUACAAAGACAACUACUUUUCUAUGAGUGUCCCAUCAACACUGUAAGAGGUCUUCCAUUUGAUAAUAUCAUGAUGAAAUGGGAAAGUGUAAUCUUGUCGUAAUCUAUGUUUUCAUCGGUUUUAGUGUGACUCUCUCUAUCACUCCCAUAUUCUAGUCACUAAUUUUUUUUAUAAAAUAGUCAAAAUAUACUGUUCAGGUUCUGUUCAAUUACACUGAAUACAUCCAAUGAGACCUUAUGGGGGGGGCAUACUAGAAAAAGUUAAAAAGGCACUGCAGAAAACAUACAUGGAUUAGACGCCUUGGGAACACUCCCCCAUUUUGGUCAAUUCGUCGGUUAAGCUGCAACUUUCCUUCUUUCCAAGCAUAUAUUGUGUGUGUCUCAAGCUGUUCCUCUGUCAGAUUUGACCCACGAUUCCCAAGAUGCAUUGAAAGGGUUAGACAGCCAUGUAGCAAAAACCUCUCAACUAAACCCAGAUGCAAAAACUUCCAUGUGGCACACAUAACAGAAAUCAUGCAGUCAAAAUCUAGAGCAUAUAAUAGCAAUCCCUUGUGAUCAAAGCAGUUGUCACUUCACAAAGAGCUCAACGGAGAAAGGCACGAGAAAGGAAACCAAAUAACUUUAUUUCCACCUAUGCUUAUCAAGAAUUCUAUAUGCCCAUAUAAACAAAUACUUAAAUAAACAACAUGCAAAACAAACGAUUCUAAAUAACCUAAAAGAUGUAUCUUUAUUAGUGGUUUCCAUUAAUACUAGCACCCUCUUACAUACACAACUCAAUCUGUUAACUAGCCAUUGUGGUGUUGAUAGGAUUUCCUAUAAGUAAUCUACAAAAAAAAGAGCCUAAAUGCUGCAUUAUGUAUCUGCAAAAGAACAUUCUACAUUCAGAAACUAACGCAGGUGUCAUACCACAUAUUUCAUGAUUCAUAUGUGUGACACAACACUAGAGAUAAUUGCCACAAGAAAGUCCAAACAUACCUCUCUCAUAAUUAAGAUAAAAUCCAAUGGACUAAGAACUCCAACAAACUGGCCUAAACAGUCCAAUAGAGGAGCCACGUGAAUGCCCUGCAGAAAGUUUAUUUUAGGGAAGAUGUGAAUAGGGAAUUAAGCAAAGGGGUAUAUGAUCGAGAAACCCAUGAUCAAGCAAAAAAACGAUAUCAAUAAUGGAAUAGAACAUCUUUAAAUAAUGAGCCUCUAGACACCAUUAAGCAUUCAAUAAUAUAUACUUGCACAGGUGGCAAAUAGAAGCAUUUCUGCAUGACCUUUUCUUUUUGCCUGGCAAUGAUACCAAGCCUAUCAUCAAUAUGACCAAUUAUUGUUUCUAAACAUUGGUAAGAGAAUUGGUUGGGUAUAUAAAGGUCAGUAGCUCACAUGUUUGCAGCUUAUAUAACCAAAGGCGAAUCUACACAAGGUCUUGGCUUCCAUUGGUCAAGGCAAUAAAUUAAGGUUUUAGCAUGAGUGCAUGACAGGGAUCGAAGGCGAAAGAUAGAUUUUCAUCUUGUGUAUGAAGCAAACCGUCUCAAUGGGUAAAAAUUGGACAGUGCUUACAACCCCAAAAGAAACCUACAAGUUAGCAAUAUCUUUCACCAAAGGAAUAAGAGAUGUGGGGAUCAAAACUGCCACCCUAAAAAAAAUUCUUUGUUUAGAAUGGGAGGAAAUGCAGACAGGAGCAGUUAGGAUAGCAACAGGGACAAUUCCAUGGUACCUCCAUUUCUCUGUCGGUGUGUAAAUGAGAAGAUAUGCAGGCUCGUCAUCAACAGACAAAGAAAUGGAGGUACCAGAAAAGUGUGACUAAUAUGAUCCAUCUCCAGAGACUUUACAUCAUCUAAAGCUAUAUGUUUGUUGUCUAGACAGAUUGGAACAAGUGGUUUCUCUGGGGAUUUAAGUGCAGCUGGUACGUGCUAGAUGCAUUAUUUGGCAUUUUCACUGAUUGGAAGUUAAGUGCAGCUGGUACUUAAAACUAGCAUGAUAUGUAGCCCUUGUAAUUGUAUUCCAUUUAUCAACAAAACCUCUACCCAAAACAAAAACAUGAUUGCACUUACUUAAUACUCAUAUUGAAUGGAGUAAUGGAUCACAUAAAAAUUGUAUGCAUGACUUUAUUUAGUAAAAGUUUGCCAAAUAAACCCAAAGAAAAUGAUUAUAUGGCAUAAGUAAUUGCAGUAAAUUUUAGAUAACAAGUAAUACUUGCUCAUAAAGAAUGUGAAAUGCUUGCUUGAUGGGUAGAUUUACAUCCAAUGCAAUGACUUGUCGACAAUCAAACCCCACAUUGAUGAGUCCUCAAGUAAUCCACAUUGCUCUUGCAUCAGUUUUAACAAAGUGAGUGUCUCAACAUGUUCCCCAUUAUCAAAAUGACCAGCAAUCAUAGUCGCCCAUAAAAUAGAGUCCUUUAAAAGCAUUUUAUCAAACAGUUGGUGAGCAGAAUCCAAACGUCCACAAGAUACAUAUAUAAGCAAUAAACGAUUUGCUAAUAGCAAUGUAGGUUUAUAUCCAUUUUGGGUCAUGUGAGAGUAAACAUGGGAACCACUUUCAGCAUCUCUUAAUUGGGUACAUUCUUUUAACAAGUAAGCAUAAACAUCUAAUGGAAUAGAUAAAUGUAGGCUAUCCAUUAGGCUUAAAAUGUCGCAAACACCCGCAUUGGCAUUACUACUACUGCUGCUUACUAUUUUUAUUUUUCUUUUUGGUCUGAACAGGGUAUGUUGAUUUGAUGUGGACUGGUGGUGAUGGGUAGAAGGAGAUUUUGGGUUUCGGAGGAUGGUGCAAGGGUGGAAGAAAUUGAAGUGGACAAGGGUUUAUAAUAUGAGUAGGGUAAAUUGGUGAGAAGGUGGUGCUGAUAAUAAUUUCAUUCACUUUGAUUUUGAUGUUUUGGUUGAUUGAUUGCUUGCGUGCUUAAUAAUGCAGUUGUCUUCUUCACCUCAAGUCCUCAACCCACACAGUCACACUCACACCCAAAAAGUUUCCAAACCCGUAAUAGACUCUAAAGACUCAAGACUCAUGACAGCCACAAUUAAGAGAUAAGCAGGCCACUGGACGAUCAAAAUGUGUGAUAAAUAGACUUUUUAUGAGUCAAUGCUAAAAAAUGAGUGAUGAUCAGAAACCAGUUGGUCAGUUUUUGAGUCAAGUAAACCCCCAUCAACUUCUUUAUGGACAUAGCUUGGAUUUUUCGUAGACUUCAGCGACUUGCUCUAUCGGAGAAAAAACCUUAUAAAAUGGCUUGGGGAGAUGUUCAUUUGAAAAUACAUCAAAACAUUUUCUUUGUUAGAAAUGGCAUUUCUAAAAUCCAUUAUACUUGUGUUUAUUGUCUUCUGUUUUAUAGAAACAAUUCAAUUCGGUUGGAAUGUGGACGGUGCUCAUUUGAAUUGUCCACAGAAUGAAAGAAAUGCACUUCUCAGUUUCAAACAAGGUCUGAUUGAUCAAACAAAUAGACUUUCCUCUUGGGUAGGCCAAGAUUGCUGCAAAUGGAAAGGAGUGAGUUGCGACAACUUUACUGGGCAUGUUGUAAAGCUUGAUCUUCGAAAUCCAUUUCCAUUCGACGAGGAUCGUUAUUAUGAUUCUUUCCCUAGAUCUGAUAAGACUUAUAGUGAAGCAUGUCUUGUAGCAGUUGGAGAGGUAAAUUCUUCGCUAUUAGAGUUGAAACAUUUGAAUUACUUAGACUUGAGCUGGAAUAAUUUUUCUGGAAUAGCAAUCCCAAAGUUCUUUGGGUUAUUCCAUGAAUUAACAUAUCUGAAUCUCUCUACUGCAUUGUUUGGUGGAAAUGUUCCACAUCAUCUUGGAAACCUGUCGACAUUGCAUUCUCUCGAUCUUACCAGUCACGAUAUUUUGCUCUUUCAUUAUUAUUCUAAUAUUCCAUCUUUGGUUGUUAACACUUUACAUUGGACCUCUAGUUUAGUAUCUUUAAAACACCUAGUCAUGAGUGGGAUAGAUCUUAGCAAUAUACCUCUUGAUUCUUUUCAAGCAGUUGCUCUUUUUUCGUCUUUGUUGGAGUUACGCUUUUCUGAUUGUUCGUUAGAAAAUAUUCCUCUGUUCCAUUCUACACUUAAGAAUUUUACAUCUCUUACCAUCUUGGACCUUAGCUCCAACAAUUUGCAAGGCCCAAUCCCCAGUGCUAUUCGAAACAUGACUUCGCUUAAAGUCCUCCAACUUUCUGACAACUUGUUCAAUAAUAGUUCAGUUUUGGAUCUUACAUCUCUUCAUAUCUUGGACCUUAGCUACAACAAUUUUCAAGGUCCAAUCCCCAGUGCUAUUCGAAACAUGACUUCGCUUAGAGUCCUCCAACUUUCUGGUAACUUGUUCAAUAAUAGUUCAGUUUUGGAUGAACUGAAGAAUUUAUACAAACUUGAAGUUUUGGACUUGUCGUGGAACGAGUAUGCCGGAAAGAUGUUUGAACGAUUUCCAAAUUUCUCAUCUCCAUCCCUUGGAGAUAAUCUUGAGACAUUGAUAUUGUCUGCAAACAGACUCACAGGGUAUUUGCCUAAUUGGUUGUACCAGUUGAAGAGUAGUCUAAAAUUGCUUGAUCUUUCAGAUAACUCAUUUGAAGGUCGUAUUCCUACAUCUCUAACCAAAUUAUUUGCUUUGCAAGUACUAGAUCUUAGUCAGAAUCAAUUGAGUGGUGAAAUUCCCAUGUCUUUUGGAAAACUUUCCAACUUGAAAAAUCUAGUUCUUUCUUAUAAUCAAUUCAAUGGGACAAUUCCUACAAGUCUAGGACAACUUUCACACUUAACAUACUUACGUCUCCAUGCGAACAAUUUUCAUGGUGUAGUAUCUGAGUUCCACGUUGCUAGACUCUCUAAAUUGAAAGAGUUGGAUUUGAGCGACAAUUCUUUGUCUAUUAAAAUAAGAUCUAGUUGGGUACCUCCCUUUCAUCUCGAGUUACUUUAUUUAGAUUCUUGUGACAUUGGACCUCAGUUUCCGAAUUGGCUACAAAAGCAAACGGGUUUGUACCGUCUGUAUAUGUCUAACUCAAACAUUUCAGAUUCUAUUCCAAAUUGGUUUGAGAACCUUACCUUCCUAAAACGUCUAGAUCUCUCUGGUAAUCAGAUGUAUGGAAAGGUGCCUAAUUUUAUUUCCCCAAAUAUUGUGGAGUUGUACUUGAGUUCUAACAGAUUUGAAGGUUCAUUUCCCCAAUUCCCUUCAUCCUUAAGAUAUUUGGACCUUUCUGAUAACAUAAUUAGCGGAUCUAUCCCAACAAACAUAGGUUAUAGGCUCCCUGAGUUAGAAUUUCUUCUUCUUUCCAAUAACAGUAUCAAUGGAACCAUCCCUAGUUCACUGUGUAAAAUGUUGUCCUUGUCAUAUCUCGAUUUCUCGAAAAAUCAUUUAUCAGGAGUUCUCCCCAACUGCUUAGGUGAUUUACAGAGAGUUGUGGUUAUAGAUUUAACAUCCAACAAUUUAUUGGGAACUAUUCAAAGAUCAUUUUGUCAUCAAUCGGAGUAUCUAACAUCAUUGCACUUGAGCAAAAACAAUUUUCAAGGAGAGUUUCUUUCGGGUUUACAAAACUGCACAAGUUUGAGCAUUCUAGAUGUCAGUGAUAACAAGUUUUCUGGAGAGAUUCCCACUUGGAUUGGGCAAAACCUAUAUUCUUUGAGAAUUAUGAAGUUAAGCUCAAACAAGUACAAUGGUAGCCUUUCUCCAAAGCUAUGCCAUUUGAAUCAACUUCAAGUGUUGGAUGUUGCAGGCAAUAAUCUAUCUGGGAAUAUUCCGCACUGCUUUGGAAAUUUCAGCAUGAUGCUCUUCAAUCAAACAGAUUUCAAUGGCUUUGAUCAUGAUUAUAGAUACCAAGACAAGUUAUCUCAAGUAAUCAAAGGAAGAGAACUUGAAUAUACAAAGAACCUGAGAUUUGUAACCAACUUGGAUCUCUCUAAUAACAUUUUCAUCGGUCAGAUUCCUGAACAACUUACAAAUCUCUCUGGAUUGAAUGGUUUGAAUCUAUCAAGAAAUCAUUUAACAGGAAGCAUCCCAAAAAAGAUUGGUGAGAUGAGGUCACUGGAAUCUCUUGAUUUAUCAAAUAAUCAUCUUUCAGGCACAAUACCACAAAGCAUUUCAACAUUAACACUUGUAAGCUACUUGAAUUUGUCGAACAACAACUUGUCGGGGCCAAUUCCGUCGGGUAACCAGCUCCAAACCUUAAAUGAUACAUCUAUUUACGAUGGUAACAAUGAACUAUGUGGGCUUCCCCUCGAGAAGAAAUGUAUAGCACCUCAAACUCCAACAUAUGUUGAUAGAAAAAGAGAUGGAGAUGGGUUCAUAACAAUUUGGUUCUACCUCGGCAUGGUGUCUGGGUGUGUGGUGGGGUUUUGGGGUUUUUGUGGUGUUUUGUUGUUUAAGAAGAGUUGGAGGUAUGCUUAUUUUCAGUUUGUUGAUAGCAUCAUCAUUGGCGACCGGUUGGUUUAUACUUUAUACAGCUGCUAGAAGAAAAGUCCGACGAAGACGCAAUUAAAGCGCAAACAACAUUUAUGCUUUUUGUAUCUAGUUUGGUCUAAACCUGACGGGUUUGUCACAUACUGAUCAGGAUGUAUUACUGUUGGAUGAUUAAUAAAAUUUCAUUUCAUUUGGGUGAUUAUUGUUCUCUAGUAGUAGAUUUGCAAACUAUGUUUCACAGAUGCAAGAUUUUAGUUUAUCCUAGUUGUAUUAACAACAGUCUUGGCCACAAAAUCAGAGCAUAAAUGAUAGAAGCAAAAUGUAUUGGCGCCUUAUAAGCGAACAAAUGAAGUUUCAACCAACAUACAGUUAACUUUGAUUUUUGAUUUUUGAUUUUUGUGAUGGAUGAAGAACUAGGCCACUAUUCCUUUUGUGUAAAUUUCAUAUUAAUAUUACAUUCUUCAAAUGCAUUUUGCAGAAAUUUAUUCUUCAGUCCACAUCAAACAGACCCUAAUACAAUGAUGAGCUAUGCUGGACAUAUAAAAAUAUGCUAGCAUUUGAUCUUAGCAUAUAUGUAUGCUUCUGAGGACCCGAGUGAUGUGUCUGCUUUAUAAACCGCCACUUUCCUGGUUUAACAUCCAAGCGGGGGAUGACGUUUGAGGAUACACUAUGAGUCUAUGAUUAUGCCCUCACAUAAGUUCAAGAGAGGAGAAGAAAAGGAUGAAAGGAAUUUGAAUCAAACACUACAAAUAUACAGUCCAAGUUCAAGGGGGAAACAAAGAACAGUAAUGGAAUGCAAUUAUUUUUUAUGAGUAUGCCCUGAAUGCGCACAACAAAAGCCAACUUGUUGUUUAUCCAGACUCUUGUAAUUAUCUUUCAAAGAGCUACAAGAAUUAUUUCGGCAUUCCCUUGAAACAACCAACCUUACAAAAAUACAGAAACAAUAUCAACUGCCAUGUCACUUGAUAUUGGAAGAAAUGGGAACAAUUACAUCGUACGUACUGUAUGCUUCAGAACUCAGAUUAGGCUGAAGUAAUAGAACUAUGGGUCCAUUUGAUUGGUCACGCCAAAUAUUCCCGGGGAAAUAUCAGGUUUAACACAAUUUUGAGAACAAAAAGGUGAGUUAUCUCCCAAAAUAACAGCCGAAAGGUCCUGCUUUUGUCCGAAUUGUUGUCCCUGAUUCUAUACAUAUUACACCCUUUUUUUUUGCAAAAUUACAUAUUACACCCUCGAAACUCUCUAUAGCAACAAUUCCCAGACAUAUCUACUACUACUGCUACUAGCAUUUAUGCAUUGAGCUCACUUUACCACAGAUGAUUCUGUUUCGUAAAUCUUAGUACAUACCACAUAUUGAAAGGAAAUAAUUAACUUUUCUCUUUGUUUUUUCAUGUAAUUAUUUAAUAUUCUGAACACCCUUUUAAUGAAAUUCUCCUACUCUAUCCAACAAGAUUGCAACAGCACUUUAUCUGUAAUUCCUUUCUAUAGAGAGACUGGCCGUACGAAAAUUCAAAGUCGAGUGUAUGAUAAUUGAUCUAUAUAUGGAUUGGAAUUGAAGAGACGUUGUUUCAAAUACCCUUGAAACAACCAAUCUCACACACAACAACAAGAUCAACCGCCACCGCCACGUCAUUAUUUUACAAGUAGCUGUCUACCUAAACUUUAACUGCCAAAAUUAAAGUGUCUUUUGUAAAAAAAAAAUUAACUAGGCCUGCUAAAAUACAUCGCCUACUUGCUAUAUUUUAGUCAGUCUACCAUUAAAAAACCUCACCUAAACAUAAACCGAAAAUUAUCCCUUAGAGCUCAACUCAAUUAGAUAGGUUAGGCCGAUAGGGUAAUGUUUACUUUUUGCUCUCAAACCAGAGUACCAGACUAUAGACAAAACAACAACAUUUACAAUAAAUCAGUUUCAGAUACACUUUAUCUAAAAAAACGAGAACAGACCAAAGGAGGAAAUGUUUUCCUUGUGAAUUAAAAUCAUGCCAUAUACAGAACAUAUUUUCAGGCUUUCAGCAAAAGCAAAAUACACACAUACGAGAUAUAGAAUGGAUAUAAUGCAUUAAUCAGGAAAAAUCAAAGGUUUUUGUUAUGCAAGUAAGUUUGGUACACAAAUUGAGCACUUACAAUAUCAACAACAGCAGAACCAACAGACUUGAACACAGUUAACUCCUUGAAGCUCGUCCUUCCUAUCUUCUCAUCUGUGAUCAAAUCCACCAAUCUCCCACAAACAUCUCCUGGCAAAACAACUCCUCUUUCAAAAGCACCCACCAAUUCUCCAGCCUCAACCAAUGCAGCUUCGUUAUCAACAAACACUCUCCCUCUUCUAAUAGCCUCAUCAUCACAUUCCUUCAUGGAAGGCGUAAAUGAUCCCACCAAAUCCAAAUGAGCACCUUCCUUCAACUUCUCACCUUUCACCAUUGCAGUUUCAGAGCUCGUCGCACAACUUACAAUAUCUCCUAAUCCAAUAAUCUCCUCCAAAGUCUCCCCAUGUUCAAAACUAACAUUACCCAGUUCUUCUUCUUCUUCUUGCAAUUUCUUAACUAAAUUUCGAGCUUUAUCGAGAGUUCGAUUCCAAAUAAUAACUUUUGUCAAAUUGGGUCUAACUGAAAGAUGAGCUUUAAUAAGAUGAGAAGCUAAAGAACCAGCUCCAAUCAUAACAAGAACUUGAGAAUUUUCUCUAGAUAAAAACUUAGAAGCUAAAGCAGAAAUACAAGAAGUUCUCCAAAGAGUUAAUUCUGUUCCAUCCAUUAAAGCUAAUGUCUUUCCUGUAAUUGAAUCGAAAAGAAGAUAAGUUGCAUGAAUUCCAGGUAAAUUUCGAAAUGAAUUUUGAGGGAAAGAAGUUACAAUUUUAACACCAAUGUAAGGAAGAGAAGGAGAAAGAGACCAAGAUGGCAUUAGAAGAAGAGAAGAUGAUGAAGAAGUGUCAAGAGAAUGGUGUUGACGAUUUGGGGAUUGAAUUGUUGUGGAAACAGAAGGAAGAGUUGAUUGAAGAUGUUGAAUUAGAAUUGGGUAUUUGAAGAUUGAUUGUAAGGUGAGAUUAUUAAGGAAGAUUGGGUUUGAUUCAGUGUUUUGAGGGUUUUCUUCAUUUUCCGCCAUUAACACAGUUGCGAGAGUAAGCGAAAAGAGAGAGAGAGAGAGAGAGAGAGAGAUAAAAACUUGGGAUUUUAUAUAUACUGGAGAUACAAUCCUGGACUCAGGGAUACAAAUCGAUGGGCUCAGUGAGAUUACAGACUAAAAGUCAUACUGAGGCUGUUCUGACUUCUGUGCAUUAAUCAGAUUAUUGAAACCUUUCCUUGCAGUUGGAAUACUCUCCGCAGGCUCAUAAGGCUGGUGACAUAGCACCACUGAGUGUACUUCUGUAUGCGACACCGAGCAAUACUCUCCGUAUACUCCAGGGACGUCUCCCCAAAUUCAGACUGUUCAAAACAGUCUCUGGCUCGAAAGCCCUUUGCACACAAAUCAAUCCAUUCAUUCAAAUUGAAUGCAUCUUAACCAAUACGCAUAAAUUUCAAAAUAUGCAAUCUCACAUUUAGCAUGAAAAUUAUACAUGCAUAAUAUCACCAAUAAUCUAAUAAUUCAUUGCAGCGUCAAUUAGGAUUUAGACAAUCAAUAUCAUGUUAAAUCAAAUAAACACUCUAACAUGCUUUCCUAUCAAUUUUCCAAUAAUAACCAAAUAAUGAUAUUAAUUUCAUGAAAUCAAAAUCAAACAAAUUCAAUUAAUAUGCAUAGCCGAAAUUGUAGUAUAACAAUAGCAUACUAUUACACCCACUAACUUCAUCUAUCUCCUAAAAGCAAGAAAAGAUAUCAAAUAAUGUAACUUACCUUAUCUUUCGCGAAGAAAAUAGCUAUGAUACUCGUCUACUAAAACAAAUCACAAGCUACAUGUCCCAAGCAUAGAAUUCCAAGUUUCCUACUAACUUUCUUAUACUUAUCUCCUUUUUAUAAAUUUUUAUUUGAUCUGCACCUACACAGAUCUGUUUCCCUCUUCUACCAUUGUUAUAUAGUGUGAACACACAAAGUUAAUAGCAAAUCGGUUUCAAUCGAGCAGCAAGUCGGUUUCUUUUUCUUUCUUAUCAUAUGGUGCGAACAGAAACUGGUUAAUCCUAGUGGGCUUAUCAGUUACCCAGGCCCACAUACUAAAUCAACAGUGUGCUGCCACCUAAACUACCCAGGCCCACAUACUAAUUAACCUAGGCCCACAAUCAAAACAAUACACCCUGAAUCAUUUCACAACAUAUAAAGCAGCAAGGUAUUACACGUCAUUAUUUUACAAGUAGCUGUCUACCUAAACUUUAACUGCCAAAAUUCAAAAAAAUUUAUAUGUGUAGCUUACUUGUACGUGGGUGUGUACACCCAAUCAUAUGACGCCACGUGUCUAUAAAGUGGUUGGGUAACUGAUAAGCCCACUAGGAUUAACUAAACCUUAUAUUAUUAUUGCCACAUGGCGUUUUGUGAUUGGGUGUACACACCCACAUGCAAGUAGGCUACACAUAUAAAAUUCUCUGGCCAAAAUUAAAGUGUCUUUUGUAAAAAAAAAAUUAACUAGGCCUGCUAAAAUGCAAGUACAUAAAAUUAAAAAAAAAUCGAAACUAAAAGAUCAAACAAGGCAAAACUAGUACUGCAGAGAACCAGACAAAUAAAAAAAAUUGCCCACCUCAUAGCAGUGCAUUAAUGUGCUUCUAAAUUCUGAUACUUCCUUUAUUUCAUGUGAAUUCCCCUUGUUUACACCAAUGGAACAGCUAUUUACUGAGUAUAUUAUGAUUACGAUGAAAGGCAGAAUGAACAAGAGCAGAAGUGAUUUGUAAAGACCUUUUUCAUUUAGCCGUAUAUCCUAAAAUGAUCAUUAUGUUCUCCUUCAAUCAAAACUCAUGAGAACAAAUGAGUUCAUCCAAAACAGAUAUCCAGUCAAGUAGGCAGGUUACUGCUUGAGAAGUCAGAAGGCUAUGAAAUGCUUUCAGAAUCCUUUUACAUCAAAGCUUUCAAGGAUCCCUCCUCCAAACUAACCAAGCAAGAAUCUGAAUAUAUCACUCAGUGAAAUGAUGCCUUCAACUCGCUUGCUACCAGCCUCCCCGAUGAUAAGCCGUCUCACCCCUGAAAAAUCAAAAGUGGUCCAACAAAAUCAGUGACUAUCAAGUUAUACACUAAUUCAACAAAAAGGGCAAAAAAUACACAGCUUUACCUGGAUUAGCCAAUUUUUCCAUCACCUUGUGCAGAGAAUCAGAUCGCAGACACAUUUGACAUCGUUGUCCAUUAAAGAAGCUAUGAGGAGAAUUUGCAUCUUGUCCCAGCUGUAAUGCCUUGAAAAUAUAUAAAAAAAAAAAGGCUGGUUGAGCACUACUUACCCUGGACAAUCACGCAUAAGAUACAUACACAUGCAAAAUGGGAUGAAUAUAUGAGGUGCAAAAUCAAAUUGGCCUGGAUGUGCAAUUCUCCAAUAAAAACGUUCAUUUGCAAUGAUGCAACCUCCAAACAAUUAGUUCAUUUAAAAUCCUGGUCACGACAGGAUAUAAACUGCAUACGUAUACGCAGUGAGGCUUAUCAAAACAAUGUAUAUAAUAAACUAAUACAAAGUUCAUAGGACAGGAACGUUUAAAGGUUUUCUUGAUGCUACACAUACUGUACAAGGAAAUAUUUAGAUGAGAAAACAGAUACACUAUGAUCCAUGGAAUUGUAUACUUAACAGUCAAACAUGUUUUAUCAUUUGUAUUCUGGAAAAUUAAGCUAAUGCUGAGGAAGAAAAUGUAAGAACAGGUGGACAUGAAGCUAUCUGCAACUACUUCCUAAGAUUUCAGACUUUUAGCUUUAGCUACCUCAAUUUCCAAUUCACAACUUCCAAAAGGACUGUGCCAUCAAAGAGAGAGAGAGAGUGGGUGGUGAAUAAUCAUAUAUUAGAAUCUCAAUCUCUAAACAUACUUCAUAUCUUUACCGCCAAAGAUUUACUUGAAUUUAAACUCAAAACAAAAAAGCUGUAAAAAGUACCUGGUGUAUACUUAUUUCAUCUAGGUGAAUCUGUGCAUAUGCUCUAUCUUUAGCCAAAGCUGCGAUAUCACUGUCAAAUAUAUAAUAGAUUACUACCCCUCACCUAAAAAGCCGCGCUAAUUCAUACCACUAAAAAAAAAGUACCUUCGAGAUUAUAUAUCCAAUAAUGAGCCAUUAUCAUCCACUAUUGGUAUUGAGCUAACUUCAGCUGCAAAUACAAAAAGGUCAACAUAGAAUAUGGUUGGAGAGGUUUUACUCCAGCAGCAAUCUAUUAUACUCUAUUAAAGCAGAAAAUACCCCUACAAAAUAUAUCUUCAAUUAGACUAUCAAUCAGACUUAAAUUGAUAGCCUAAUUAAAGAGAAUUUCAUUCAAUUUUGGGUAUAUUUGUAAUUGUAAAAAACAUAACUUUUUCACUUAUUCGCCUUCCUCUUCUCUCAAUGUCUCAAUAACGAUUGUCGAACUAAACCAUUAUUUCAAGUGCAAACAUCUUUUACUAUCACCAAUAAUCUUAGGAGCUAAUUUCUCUUCUAGAGAAAAAAAAUACAUAUGUAAAAAAAAAAAAAAAAAGGGGGAAGAACUCAUUUUUAGGUUACAAACUGGAGAUUUUUGUUGUCAUGUUUGCUAUUAAAACACAAUAUUGUUAUACCAAUCCUACACACGCGUGAUGCAUUUUUUUCCUUACUCUUCAUGGUUUUAAGAUGAUUUCUUGGAGUCUUACUAUUAUGCUUUAUAUGGUUUUCUUUUGAUAGAAUCAUUCUUGGAGUCUUACUAUUAUGCUUUAUAUGGUUUUCUUUUGAUAGAAUCACGAUUCUGUCAUUGGUGUCGGUAGCUUUAGAUUGGUCUGACAUGCAAAAACCCCAUAUCACAUAUUUGGCAAUAUGACUGGAUGUUAAAAUUAAUAUGAUUUUGAAAACUGUGAGUACUUAAUUAUCUGUGUGUAUUUUGAUUUUGGUAAAAUGAUCAAAAAAUACAACGUACUUUCACUUUUUUUUCACUUUAUACAAUGUACUAAAAAUCACGCCAAAACAUCAAUGUACUUUGAAAAAAAAUUCACGUUAUACAAUCUGUUUAAAACUAGCUAACGGACUGCAGACGUGGCUAAAAAUUAUCUACGUGUGUUUUUUCUUUUAAAAUAAAACGCUGAGUUGUAAAACUAAAAUCAGCCCAUCUACUUUAGAACGUGUCAUCAGAUCAUGUCGACACAUGUUUAAAUCUAAACCGUCCAUUAAUCCCGCCCAAAGUUCGCGCCAAGAUGUUAGAGAUUGUUGGUUUGCAUCUUGGAACCAUUUUUUAUCUUAGUACUGAUUGUUGGUUCAGCAAAUGGAUUUUCAUACUUCUGUUGAAAAUUGGAAGGGAAUCUAAUGGUUGCUACAUACUACCCAAGUUAUGAAACAUACCAUGUAAAAUUAGAAAAAUUUGAUCAUCUGAUAAUCUUCCUUGAGAAAAUGGCAACCACUUAUAUUACAUUAAGGCAAGAAGUUAGUGGGCAAGAAGAAGGCAGGACCAUAGAAGGGUUCACUGGUUCUAUGUUCGUAUGAUCUUUUUUCUGUCCUUAACUGAUUCAUGAUUCUAUUUGUUAGCACCCACUUUCGCAUUUUCAGACACCUUUUCACCACAAACCCACUUUCUCUGCCAACUACAUGAAUUCCACUCAAUUUCAUGGAUUCUGACAAAAAAGAUUUCCUGCAACAAGGCAGUAAUGGAGUUCUACAUUUUGAGCUUUCUUUUAUAUUUUCUCUUCUUCAGCACACUAUUUCUUCAAAGGUUAGUUUCUUUCUCUAGUUCUCUUCAACUAUUUCAUAGUUUUGUCUGUUUCAAGAGAUUUCUUGAAAUUUUUUGAAAGGGAUUUGAAUUAGGGAUUUAAAGAUGAUGAAGAAUUAAAAGUGAGAAGAAUUGGGGAUUUGAAUUAGGGAUUUACAGAUUUGUUGAAUUGAAUUGUUCAAAUAGGGAAGGAGUCAAUCACAUGAGAAACAUGUGCCUCAUUUUGAUGUGUUGGAAAUGUUUUUUAACUUUAUUUUAAAAGAAAAAAUACACGUAGAUAAUUAUUAGCCACGUCUGCAGUCCGUUAGCUAGUUUUAGACAGAUUGUAUAACGUGAAAUUUUUUUCAAAGUACAUUGAUGUUUUGGCGUGAUUUUUAGUACAUUGUAUAAAGUGGAAAAAAAAGUGAAAGUACGUUGUAUUUUUUGAUCAUUUUGAUUUUCACUUUUGACAUUAUGUUGCACCAAUGUAAGUUCAGAGUUUAUUUGACAUUAACAGACAGUGCUCUAUCAAUUCUCAAUUUAUGCAAUGGCUCAAGGGUAAGAGAUUCAGGAUCACUAUAACUGCUUAGAAUCUUAAUGCUAGCUGCUUCUAUUGGUCUAAAUAGCAUUCAGAGGUUCUACACGUACAAAGUUCACUAUACAUUUUCAAUCAACUUGAUCUUCAGUUACCUACUUCUAUACAAAUAUAAAGAAAUUGAGGUUAGGCUUUCAAACUUAAUAAUUUCUGUUUUAAUUGCCUGUGUAUAUGUAUCAUUGAGAAUAAAUACAAGAAGAACAGGUAGAUUUAUCAAGCUUGGAAAUUCAAAUUGAUAUGUUUUAUUUCUGUUUUCCCUUUGGGCUCCCCAUGAAUACCAGUUUCUUCCUGAGCAACUCAGUGUGAGAUUUGAAUAUGGCAGAGGUGAUACAUCCCACUAUUAUAAUUCAAGCACCGAGGUUCCAAGUGGAAGGGUUUCAUCGUAUUCUAUUGGGGCUCCAUAUCUUCAUGAAAAAAGAACCGCCGAUAGCAGAUUAUGGUUUCCAAGGUCAAUUGCCGAGUGGAAGUUAUCCUCAGCCAGGGAGAGCAUGCCAUGUAUUUUCUUUAUCUUCAGGAGAGUAUGAAAGUCCACACAGAAGCCCUUUUACAAACAUGGUAAUGGAAUCUUAGGUUGCUUCUCAGUUCUCACCCUGCUGUUGGAAUAGAAGAUCGGUUUCAACUAAUGUUUGAUAAAUGCUGUAGUGGGAUCAAAUUGAUCACACAAUAACUAACACCAAAAGAACCCGACCAGUAUCAGAAUUUAUAUUAGACACCAAUACACCAUGGCAAUAACAGCCACAACCAUACCAGUUACCACCCACACCAUGGCAAUGUCACAUAGUCAUCACGCACACCAUAUUCAUAACAUCGAGUCUUCACAUUAAUUCAUUAUAGCCGAGCUUCUUAACUUGCAAAACGGAAAGCUUGCAUAAUGUCUCAGUAUUUCUGCUAUUUGAAGUGUAUUUUACCCCUGAAAUUUUUGAACUUUUGGAAUCAACGUAUUGAAACAAAAACUUAUUUUAAUGAGCAGAUUCAAUGUUAUAUUUCAACAAAGAAGAUCUUCGUUUAUUUGUUAAGAUGUCUUAUUUACUUUUGGGUUAAACUUUACAUUGAUUAAAACUUAGAUCAAAAUUCAAUGAUGGCAGUCAAAAUUUGAACUCUGCAGAGAAAAAUGUUAGGAUGCAUGACAGGUUGUCUUCAUUUUGCAGUGUACCUUUUGAAAUUUUUUACCACAAUUCGCACGUCAAAUUCAGAUUUUCAAGUUAGUCAAUAAGAGCAAAUCUCAUAAAAAUCAUCCCAAGUCAUCCCAAGUCGAAUGUUGGCCAGCCUCCACCAAGGUGAUUCAACAUUCUACAUUUGUUUCCAAAGAAGUUUUCUUAAAACAGGAAAUCAUCUUGCAUUCAUUAAGAAAUCUAUAAUUCAGAUAUAAUAUUCCAUUAACAACCAAGAACUGGAGAUAUUCAUGCUUUAAUAACUCAAAACACCUAAGAAACGUAGAAAAUAUGCAAAAACCAAGAACCUGAGGUAUGAAUUUUGAAACAAUACUAGCUUUUGAGCCCGUCCGUUGGACGGGAUGCUUGAAAUAGUAAAUGGGUUAAUACAGUAUAGAUAAAUAUUUAUUUAUUUAUUUCACUUCAUAAUUGAAAGUUUUUCUUUUUUAUCAUUAUGCUCAUUAAAAACUUGUUGCAACUAUUAAAAAUUUAAAAGCAAUGGAAGCACUAUAAUUUCAUUAUUCUAGCAUGACUACUAUGAGUUGUAUCAGUAAAAUAGAAAAGCUAACAUAAUAAUGAUACACACCUAAAGACAGAGAGUAACUAAACAGCAAAGUAAAGCUCUUUAUGAUCAAUUCCCUCUGUAAUAGUUGCACCACUACCUUAGGUGCCAGUAACUCAGUAAUGGAUGGUCUUUUAUUUGCAACAAUAGAGAUACGAAAAGAGACAACAUUGUGCAGUUUAUUCUACACCAUUACAAAUUACAUAAGCUUCAGGUUAUCCUUCUCUAGUGGCUAUGACAGUACAACUUUGAGAAGCUAGUGGAGUUGGAGAAACAUAUUGAAUUAUGUUUACUCGUCUUGUGAUGCUUUCAAGGACAUCAUCAAGUCUCAAAUGGUCUUGAUGCGCUACCAAAGAUCUCGGCAGCUUAGCCAAUGAGAGAUGAAUUAUGUUUUCGAGAAAAAAAAAGACUUUCAGAUUAACACCAAGUAAGUAAUAAUUCCCAAAUAUUAUUUAUUUGUUUAUUUAUCAAAUUAAGAUUAUCAUUCAUGUGGUCAGCAUGCUUAAACGCACAGCCAGGUUAUUGCAUCCCAAAGCAACAAACAUUAAAGUCAUACAUACACUAUAAGUUCUAGUAUGCGGUUAUGCGCUGUCCGUGAAGCUUGAAAGAAGUCCCCCUGAUGCUCCAGUAUCUGGACAGGCUUCUACAGUCCUGUUGCUGCUGAUCUCAGCCCCCUCCCUGUAUUAGUCUUCUCUGUGUUUGCCGAAAUUCUCCAUUGGUGUUUGCUGUUACAGUUAUACACAAACUGAUCCAGUCAUCCAUUUAUUCAGAGAAUAUAUAGGACUUCUUGAGGUCCAUAUCUCUAUGAGUCAUAACCAGUCCCAAAGAAAGCUUUUCACCCUGAUAAUGACUCUCCAUUGUUGAAAUAUUUUCAUUUCUGACUCUCCAUACUGUCCACAGCCUCGCAUAAGGUAACAAAGGCCAAAACAUCGCUGUUAGCCCCCUAUUGUUAAGUUCACACCAGUAUUGCAGGGGCCCUUUCACAUUAUCAUAGUUGACAGCCUAAUCAAACCUUGUCAAAUGAGCAAUAAAUUUCCUCCAAAUUUGCACAGUAAUGGGGCAUGAGAUAAACAAAUGUGAAAUUAAGAUAAGUUAAAGAGUGUGUGAAAUAGAUAAAAUAAACAGAACAUACAACACCUUGGAGUGAAAUUACGCAGUACUUUUAAGUCUAAAAUUAACAAUAUUCGAAGUAAAACAUUAAAAUAUUCACAAAUGCUCCCAAGUACCCUCACAGUGGAGUUUUAAAUGCUCGCAUUCUAUUUUUUAAGAGAUAACAUUCAUAAAUGCUCCAUUAUUGUAUUCCGAUCCUCAACCAUCAUAUCCUAGACUGCAAGUAGUGAAUUUAAAUUGUAAAUGAUGUUCUAAAAGUGUGCUUCAACAUUCCUUAAUUUUGCCUUUAACUAAUACAAAAUGAUGCAAAUGGUGUUUAAAUCAUGUAUAGUUCAUCAUAAACUGACAUGUAGCAGUGUGAUAUAAACUGACAUAGUGACAUGUAGUAGUGCGAUAAUAUUCCAAGAAUUUGGAUUACAAUAAGUGAAGGGAUAAAGAAAGAGAGAAAUGGGAAGAGCAACCCAAUGACCCAAACUGCUUGUUACACCAACUAUUGUAUUCAUCAAUCUGGAUAGAGAGAGUCAGAGAGACAUAUAGGAGUAAAUAUUUUCGAUAUGUGCCUAUGUAACUAUGUUUCUUUGAGUCUUAAAUAUACAAUAAAAAAUGACUUGUUGUUAUGAAAAAAUAAUCAAAUUAAAUGCAUAAAAUUAAAAACAAAAUUCCAUAUGAUUAAUGGUUUACAAUUUUAAACCCGGACUCUUAGAAGGAUAUUUUCACACAUUACAAUCCAGUUAAAAAUGGUUACAUCAGGAAUUCAACAGUGAUUGUGAUCAAAGAAAAAACAGAAGAAGAGAGUGAUACAUACCUUUUAAAAUCUGAAGUGCCUACGAUUUCGCGAGGGAGGAGAGGGAAAAACCAGAGAAAAAAAAAGAAGGGAUUCAACAAUUGGUUUCCUUUCCUUAUAUAUAAACCAAAAAAAGGUUAGAAACAAUCUAAACAAUAUGCAUCUUUUCGUGAUAGAUUUCUCGAAUCGGUGUGGUUGCAUAACUGCCGAUCUAAAAGACAAUAAUACUUUUUGAUGCCAGGGACAAUAAAAUAGAAUUUUCUAUACAAAACAGGGUUAAACUUGGAAAUCUACUCAUAUUUUGCUGAUGUGGCUACUGGAUUCUGUAAUAGUCUGUAAGAAUUUUUUGCCCUUGGGUGUUGCGCUUUAUAUUAAAGGAAGAAUAUUGAAACAAAUUAUUAGACAUUACAAAGUACAAACCAAAAGCAACAUGAAACCCACAACAAAGGCCCAAAGUUAAUAAGAUCCAUCCCGUACAUUGCACGGGCCUAAGGACUAGUUACUAGUAUAAGUCUUAAACCGAUCCUACUUCUAAUUGCUAUUAUCGGGUAGAAUUAUUUUUCAUCUUUCUCGAUAAAUUCUAAUUUCAAGAUAUCAAUCAAAGCCAUAGUAGAACUGAGAUGAUCUACAUACAAAGCAAGGCCAUAGUAAAAGGUGAAGUUUGAUAAAAUAAGUGGAAUUAGAAGGGGGCUGUGGUUGGAUGAGAUAAGUCUGCUGCAGAAUUAAAUAAAACUUUGGGCAGUACAUUUGAUUUGACAUCAUCGUGAGUUUGUGACAGCUUACAUAAUACAAGAGACAUAUAUAAAGUUUAUUAACAUGGUCAUAGAAUUAGCAUUUUCGAUUAAGUAAUGGUCAAAUAAACUUAUAAAUAAAUCAUUUUUGGUCAUACCCCAUUUGAAAGUCGAAAUUUGAGAUACCCUAUUUGAAAAAAAAAAAUUGAGAUACCCCCAAUUCAAGAUAGAAGAGUUUUACGACCGUAGGUGAGUUUUAUGAUGGACGGGUAAAACAUCUACAUGAGAUAUUCAUACAGUAUGAUGAUAAAUGACAUGAUGUAUUAUUUCAAAUGCUCUUAAUUAUAGUACUGAAACGUUUUAUAAUACUAACAUGAAUGCUUACUAGCAGUGGUGUAUAUCAUCCAGCUGUUUAUAUUGAUUACUGAGGAAACUUGUAUGCUUUAUUUUAAAAAUUAAAUAACAUAGUGCUGUUCAUUAUGUUACUGUGGUGGUUCUCUUUCUCUAAUUUGAUGAAUAUAAUUUGGCUCUUGACAUUGUAGGACAUGGAAUUCGGGUCUUCAAAUGAUGACAUUCGAAUUGAAGUCCUAUCUCGAGUACCAGUCAAAUCUCUCCUUACAUCUAAGUGUGUCUCCAAACGGUGGCAAGGCAUUAUUUCUGAAACUUCGUUUCAAAGACUUCAUUGUCAAAGGACAAAACCUGUUAUCUCCGGGUUCUUCUAACAAGAUAUGUUUGAUGAGAUGCAACAUGUCAAGUAUGUUUCCAUUUGUAACGACCAAGUCACUGUGCAGAACACAAUCCUGAAUUUCAUUCCUCAUAAUUUCCGUCUUAUUGCCUCAAGCAAUGGGCUUAUUUGUUGUCGUAACUUUGGGAUUGGUGCGCAAUUUGUUUUCAUUUGCAACCCAUUGAAAAGGGAAUUCCUCCAAAUAAAGGGGCCAAAGGGUAUUAAUGGACGUAGACUCAGAGGCCAUGGGUUUGUUUUUGACCCACUGUGUUAUUCUUUGGAUGGGACUCCUAGCUUUAAGAUAGUUAGCGUCAGUAAGAAAAAGGGUUUUGUCUUCUCUUUCCACAUUUACUCAUCUAAGGUAAGGGAGUGGAGAUUAUCGGAGGAGAUCUAUUAUGAUGACUGUGAUUUGUCUCUUGGUGGCCGGGGAAUUUUUGCUGGCGGAGUGUUUUACUGGUUAACUGGUGGGAAUGUAGUCAUGGCAUUUGAUUUAGAAAAGGGCAAGUCCAAGUGCAUAGAUUUACCAGUUCCCAGGAUACAGCGAAAUGAGGGCCUUUGUGAAAUGUGCAUUGGGGAGUCUGAAGGCUGUUUUUACUAUAUUCUAAUUACUGAUGCUGAUCUUCGAGUCUGGGCUCUGAAUAGUGAACACAGGUGGUUACUUAAGCACUCAAUAUCCUUGACAGCAAUUUAGGAACAGCACCCAAAUCUCCUGUAUAAGGAAGGAACAAUUGCGUCAGGAAUAGUUGUGGGUGGAUUAAUAUUGCCAACAUGGAUUGAACCUAUAGCUUUCAAGGAUGGAAAUUUGCUUGUGAAGUUGCGUUGCCGUUUCAACUAUGAACGUGGAGGCCUUGAAGUUUGCACCAAGAUAUACUUGUAUAACUUGGAUGCUGGAACAAUGAAGGAACUCUGCGUCCUUGAGGAAUUGGGACUCCCCGUUGGUUAUUUAAGAACAAUUCCUUAUUGCAUGAGUUUUGCACCAUUGCUAUCUACUUAGGUAGCAGAGGAAGUUACUAUCUGGAACUUUCAGCAGACUGUGCUCGAAGACGGUGAAGAAAUCAGCAAUUCCAUCGUUUAUCAGCAAUACUGUUGAAGUACCUAGUUGGGUGUAUGUUAAAUAAGGUGUGUUAAGAGGGAACUUGUGCACUUGUGUGCAAGGGUCUUCAUUCUGUUUGUUUUUCUUUGUUGUCCUUAAUGUACUAGAUAUUUACCAUGGUUAAAUAAGAGAUCUGUAACUCAUCUCUUUCAAGGCAAGUGCUAUACUCAUCUCUUUCAAGGCAAGUGCUAGAUUUUUAACUCAUCUCUUAAUGCCAAUGUUUUCAUGUUUAAAGAUCUUGGGAUAUCCACACUAUUAAAAUCCAGCAAAGGGUAAAAAAGAGUACAUGAUCCUACCUACAAAUGUGCUCCAAAUGCUGCAACAGGCUAAUGUCGGCUUCACAGGUGUAAAUAACCUUGAGACAGAUGGCCUGAAUCUGAUGAUAAUCAUAUGAUGGUGGGAACUGGGAACUGGGAAGGAACAACUGUUUGAAGCCUUUGUUGGUACAGAAGCUAGAGAUCAAAAUGUCAAAUAUGGUCGGGUCGGGUCAGUACCGGUUCUGUUUCAUCAAUUUCGGGUUAAUGGUUGUUCAUUCGGAUUUCGGAUUUACAAUGGGCUUAAUUCUUUUGAUUAUGCGCUUCAGUAAAUGCCCAACUACAUUAACGGGCUCAAGCAACGUUAAAAGCCCUAAAAGUUUUGUGAUUGGCGCGCUCGAUUUCAAUGAAAAGACGAUGGCGUCGAAAGAGGGGUUAGGGUUUCAAACUCAUGGAACUUGUGACUGAAGCAAGUAAUGUUCUUGAUCAAUUUCUCCAUGUUAAUCUGACUAAAAUUGCUAGGUUCUAUGAAGUUGUUAAAAACAGAAUUAUCAAGUCAUUUAUCAAUUAUCAUUAGAACUAAAUUGUAAUUGAUUUAGGGAAAGGGAAAUUAACAAAGUUAAUUAAUGUAUCAUUGCUGUUAAGUAAUGAUCAGUUAGAUAUGUCGUUUUUCGUAUAUUAUACUAAUUUGAAAAUAUAAAUAAAAAAAAAUGUGACAAUUUUCUUUUCUCUCCAUCACAUGUCACUAUUAUUAUUAAUUGCCACAUGUUAAUUGUUUUCCCCCCUCAAAUCAAUAGUCAUGCUCAUUUAAUUUUAUAGCAGUGUGUUUUGUACAUGUUACUUAAGUUGGGCAUGCUUCUUGACAUCUUGUACAUGUGCAUAUGCGUGUGUGCGCUUAUACGUGUGUUUACACGUCCGUAUGAGUGCUUGCCAAGCUUGUAUGUAGUUGAGAACUGUUAUUUUAUUAAUCAAUCUCCUUGAUUUUCAACAAGUUUCUUAGGGGGAGGGGGGAGGAGUACAAUGCAAAAUAGCUCAUGGAUAGGUUAAUCCCUGGUACAGAAAUGUGAUGGGCACUUACGUACAAUUUUGCAGAUUGUGUGGAAGAUUAAUAUCCAAUAUAGGCAGAUAGACUAUCUAUGACAAGAAUACGGCACCACACUUGAUACGAUUUUAUGGUCUUAAUAUACAAAUUGAAGUAUGUUGUAGACUUGUAGUUCUAAAUAUAUUUGAAUUUCACUUUUUUUCUUACAAAUAACUUUUUUAUGGCAGGAUGCACAUUACAUUGUCUGAACUUCCCGAGCCUUCAACAAUCAAGUAUGAUCUUUACCAUUGUAUUGCGACAAAGACAGCCAUAGACAAAAAAAUAAAUAAAAAGACAAUGGUAGCUGUGCAUUUUGACUUGUAAGUUAUAACUUAUAACUUAAUGUUGAGCCUUUACAUUAUAUGGAUAUUGUGUCCUGGGUCACACACUUUUAAUACAAUCAAUAUAUUCUUACGAUUAUCACUAGGAUCAUAAAAGAUGUGAUGGUUUGUAUUUUAUCAACUUCACCAGGUGUAUGUAAUCCUCGUAGGAGUGUUCAUGAUUACCCUGUUACUGAAACUAAAUCAAAACCAGUUUUGAUAAAUGAAUCGAUGUUUAUGACUCCAAUUUUUAGGAACUAGGCACGUAAGAGUUGAUAAUUGAUUGUAACCAUUAGUCAUGGUUCUGGUGAAUCCUUGUCUAAAGCACGUUGAUGUAUAACAAGGAUAAAUAUCAGAUAUCUGUUGCAAAAUGUCCUUAAAAAUAGUUACGAGUGGUGACUCGGCAAAAAUAUUGUAAAGUGCCGUGGAGAAAUCAUGAAGAGAUUUCAUUAUAUAAAAAAUAUCAGAUGUGUCCAAAAUCAAUAUAUAGAUUGCGAGAUUUUCACCGCUGUUGGCAGAUGGAUUUUGUUCAAAUCUCGCAAAGAUUUGAAAUCUGGUUAUACAACCAAAUGCCAUUAAUAUGACAACUGCACUAAAGCUAUUGGCACUUUGGCAGUACCUUGGAGUCAUCCAAAAAUUUUCUAUAAAUUCACCUCACCUCCCUUCAUUUCUUUUCACUUGAGUAAAACACAGUAGUGACUGUUCUGUUGAGCUCUGUCUGCAACACCAAACGAGCGUAAGCAUUCUGCCCUCUCUCUCAAGCUUAUCCUUUUUUGCCUACAAUUUGUUUUUCUCACUGUAUUUGUGAUAUAUUCAAAAGUUACUUGAACAUUCAAUUCAGAAGCAAUUUUUUUGUUAUUAUAAUUGACAGAAUUGCUAUGAUUUUUAGGAAAAAAAAAAAGAAGAAGAAAUGCAUUGAUUGUUCAGGAAUAGUGACAUUAAGUCUUGCAAGUAAUCAUAUUGGUCAUGGUUCUAGUUGUAGGAUUAUGUGAACAAAAUUAAUGAAUUCAACUGGAACUUCCUAUUUGUUAUUGCUGAAUUCUAGCUUUUCUCCUGCCCCGUAUUAACUACUAACAAAUUUGGGCUACAAUAGCUUAUAAGCAGCUUUUCACAACCUUAAACAUAGCGAAUUUCUAUCUUUAUCAAAUAGAGAGAUAGGAUGUAUACUAUUUUGUGCCUCAAAAGCAUCCAUCAUUCCAUCUUGAGGCUUAUGUCUUCAUGGAGUACACAUUCUCAGAAUAAUCAUCAUUUUGGUUAGUUUGUAGUAUUGUACAUACAUUUUGGGUUAUCAAUCAUGUAAUAAACAUGUUACCUUGAAGUCUUGAACUUUAUCUUUUACACUAAAUACUUCUACAUGAGUUAUUUUAGUUCUACAUGUUCUUUCUUAUAUUCGUUUUGAUUGAGCUACUUAUAUAUCUUUUAUGGGAAGAAAUCAAUAGUAAUUAUUACGAUUUUGUAAUUAUUUACUUACUGAGUGUAUAUAAUUUGAAUAUUGACAUUUUUAGGAGAUGGAAUUUGGGUCAUCGAGUAAUGACGGUCCAAUUAAGUGUGUCUCCAAGCGAUGGCAAGAAAUUAUUUCUGAUACUUUUGUUCCAAGACUUCAAUGUCUGAGUACAAAACCUCUCUUAUCCGGGUUCUUGUUCCAGGAUGUGCUUGAUGAGUCUAACGAAGUCAAGUACAUUCCCUUUAGUAAUGAUGAAGACAUUGUGCAAAACUCAGUCUUGGAUUUCAUACCUGAGCACAUUCGUCUUAUUGCCUCAAGCAAUGGGCCUCUUUGCUGUCUUAAGUUUGGUGUUGAUGAUGAAGUUGUUUUCAUUUGCAACCCCAUUAAACAGAAAUGUUUCCGACUAGAGGUGCCCAAAGGUAAUGAUAGAAUUGAAGGCCUUGCCUUUAUUUUCAACCCAUUCUGCAAUUCUAUGGACAAGUCCCCAAGUUUCAAACUUGUUAGCAUCACUAGAAAGGGGGAUUUCGAAUUCUCUUUCCACAUUUACUCCUCUGAAAUAGGGGAAUGGAGAAAUUUGGAGAACAACUGCUACUGUGACUUGGAUUUAUCUUGUUAUGGCCGUGGGGUUUUUGCUGGUGGCAUCUUUUACUGGAUGACUCAAGGAAACAUAAUAAUUGCAUUUGAUGUAGAAAAGGAGCAGUCACAGUGCAUUACUUUACCACUUCCUAGGAUACCACCAGACGAGGGACUUUGUGAAGUGUGCAUUGGGGAGUCUGAAGACUGUCUUCACUAUAUUAUUAUUGCUAGGGCUGCUCUUCAAGUUUGGGUCCUGAGUUGCGAUCACAAGUGGUCACAUAAGCACUUGAUAUCUUUAGCCAAAAUGGAGGAAGAGUACCCAUAUUUCCUCUAUAUUGAAGGGAAAAUAUCUGCAGUUAUGGAUGUGGGCGGAGUAAUUUUGCCAACAUGGAUUGAACCUAUAGCAUUCAAGGAUGGAUUUUUGCUUAUAAAGUUACGUUGCCAUUUCAGCUGCACCCUGAUAUACAUGUACAACCCUGAUGUUGGAACAAUGGAGACACUAAUCACCCUUGAGGAAAUGGGGCUCCCUGUUGGUUACUUAAGGACGCUUCCUUAUUGCAUGAGUUUGGCACCUAUGCAAUCAAAAGACAUUUUAUUGAUAAGCUCAAAGAAUUACACGAAAGUAGAGGACAAAUUUAUUUAUAAAUAAAAGAGAUUUUGGCACUUACCCCCUCAUUUGAAAGUCGAAAUUUGCAUUCCCCCUCCCCAUUUGAAAAAAAUAUAACAGUUACACCCCCCCCCCCCCCAUUGGAUGGAAAAAAUAAACGGUGUUACAAAAAUUAAUUUUUGAAUUUUCAUAAAAUAAUAUAUUUUGAUAAUACCAAAAUUACCCUUCUUUAAACAUGUAAAUAAUAACACAUAAUUAGUAAACCCCCUACUGAAACAUACAUAAUUAACAAUACCCCCAAAUCGAUUUGCAAAAAAAUUUGAAGGAGAAGAUGAAUUUUUAGGAAAGAAAAAGAAAUUUGUUUGAGAAAUUUGUUAAAAAUAAUAGUAGAUACGUGUUUCCCUCAAUCACCCAUACUUUUUUUCUAAUUGUUAGCUUUAAAUUUAAAGAACUAAAAUUUAUUUGAGAAAAGUUAGGUUUAUUUAUAAACUUUUGGGAAUUUUGGAUUUUUGGGGAAGACAACAAAGUUGACAGUUAGAUUAAGUACGAAAUAGAUGGGAUAAGAUUAUGACAGAUAUCGUUAUUAUCAGAAUAAAAAAGGUAUUAUUGGUAUUAUUAAAAUAUUUUAUAUAUUUUAAAAAAAUUCAAAAAUUGAUUUUUGUAACAUCGUCUCUUUUUUUCCGUCCAAUUGGGGUAACUGAUAUAUUUUUUCAAAUGGGGUAACUGCUAUAAAACCCUCGGUGUAAAUUUACACAACAUAAAAGCUCACUAUUUCCGACCAAAAAAAACAAAAAAACAAUCCAAUAGUGAGGAUCUAUAUUCCAAAUGUUAAUUGGAGUUACUAGUCUUGUAGCCCAUAGAAGGGAUGCUUUUUUUGUUUAGGCUUCAUUAUUUUGGUCUGUCAGCAGUCAGUAGUUCCAUGUUAGAAGUUAGAACUUCAAAUACUCACGGUUUCCAGUGUAAGCCUAAAUUUAAGUAUUUAACUACGAUUACUGAGAUGUAUGUUGAAAAGAAAACCAUCUCUUACUUCGAAGAAUUCUUCUUCAAAACAUCAUCACAUUUAUAUUAAUAAAAAAGAAUACCGAAUGAACUGGACACUGACAUAUAUUACGAAAUUUAUUAUGUUAUGAUACGUGCAAAUGGAGAUUUGUAUGUCUUACAUAUGAAGCAUUGGUGGCAUGUCUCCAUCUAUAUCAGAACCAAUAUAUGAUGACACAGUCGCUAACUGGUAGCUCUUUCAUUAUGUGUUUGUGCAGAACUUUGAGGAGAAUUUGUCUCUUGGAUAAACCUGAAGUUCUUUCUCUGAGCUUCAGUUUAUAGGUGUUGAAAGAUUCGUCUCCAUCUUUUAUUCUCUUCAGUUUAUAGGUGUUGAAAGAUUCGUCUCCAUCUUUUAGCCUAGACUUUCUUCUUUCUUGAUAUAUAACAAAUUAUUUGAAAGUGAAAUCCAACAGAUACAUAAACUCUGGGCCAGUUGUCACUAAAGAGUAAUAGCAGACUAUAACUAUCAAUAGAGGUAACUAAUUCCCACAAUCUAUUCUUACUUGAUUGAGUAACGAUUCAGGUGGUUGCACUCCAUUUGAUUGCAUUUCAUACAAAAACUUGAUGGCCUCAUUGUAGAAUCCAUUUUGCGCGUAACCAGUUAGCAUUGCAUUCCAACACAGAUUGUUUGUUCUCUUCUCGUACCCCCUUGCCAUUUCAAACAAUUUUCUUGCAUCUUUCACCAUACCACAUUUACCAUACAUGUCAACCAAACUACAUUGAACAAACUGAUCCCAUUCAAUCCCAAGUUUGAUGGCAUUGCAAUGUACUUGCCUGCCACCCCGCCCAUCUCCCAUUCUCCCACAUGCCCUGAUAACACUUGACAAUGUGAAGUUGUUCUUCUCAGAACCUGAUCUUCCCAUCUCUUUAAAAACCUCAAGAACCUCCUUAAAAUGUUCCUCUCUACUAUACACGACAAUCAUAUUUGUCCACACCACAGUAUCGCGUAAUUCCACCUUGUCAAAGAUACAUCUUGCACUACUAAUGCAUCCAAGCUUUCCAAUAAAAUUAAUCAACAAGCUACCUAUAAAUAAAUCAUCCGAACAACCACCUCCUUUGUUAAAAAUCCUUUUAUCCAUCUUUAAUACCAAUCCAUGAAUUUGUGUUCCGAGUUCAAAAUCACCUGUCUGAAUACACGCUCGAAGAACACAAUCGACAAUCAAACCCCACAUUGAUGCGUCCUCAAGUAAUCCACAUUGCUCUUGUAUCAGUUUAAACAAAGUGAGUGUCUCAACAUGUUCCCCAUUAUCAAAAUGACCAACAAUCAUAGUCGCCCAUAUAAUAGAGUCCUUUAAAAGCAUUUUAUCAAACAGUUGGUGAGCAGAAUCCAAACGUCCACAAGAUACAUACAUAAGCAAUAAACGAUUUGCUAAUAGCAAUGUAGGUUGAUAUCCAUUUUGGGUCAUGUGAGAGUAAACUUAGGAACCACUUUCAGCAUCUCUUAAUUGGGUACAUUCUUUUAACAAGUAAGCAUAAACAUUUAAUGGAAUAGAUAAAUGUAGGCUAUCCAUUAGGCUUAAAAUGUCGCAAACACCCGCAUUGGCAUUACUACUACUGCUGCUACUAUUUUUAUUUUUAUUUUUGGUCUGAACGGGGUAUGUUGAUUUGAUGUGGACUGGUGGUGAUGGGUAGAAGGAGAUUUUGGGUUUCGGAGGAUGGUGCAAGGGUGGAAGAAAUUGAAGUGGACAAGGGUUUAUAAUAUGAGUAGGGUAAAUUGGUGAGAAGGUGGUGCUGAUAAUAAUUUCAUUCACCUCAAGUCCUCAACCCACACAGUCACACAGUCACACUCACACCAAAAAAGUUUCCAAACGGUAAUAGACUCAAGACUCAUGACAGCCACAAUUAAGAGAUAAGCAGGCAACUGGACGAUCAAAAUGUGUGAUAAAUAGACUUUUUAUGAGUCUAUGCUAAAAAAUGAGUGAUAAUCAGAAACCAGUUGGUCAGUUUUUGAAUCAAGUAAACCCCCAUCAACUUCUUCAUGGACAUAGCUUGGAUUUUUAGUAGACUUCAGCGACUUGCUCUACAUCAAAACAUUUUCUUUGUUAGAAAUGGCAUUUCUAAAAUCCAUUAUACUUGUGUUUAUUGUUUUCUGUUUUAUAGAAACAAUUCAAUUCGGUUGGAAUGUGGACGGUGCUCGUUUGAAUUGUCCACAGAAUGAAAGAAAUGCACUUCUCAGUUUCAAACAAGGUCUGAUUGAUCAAACAAAUAGACUUUCCUCUUGGGUAGGCCAAGAUUGCUGCAAAUGGAAAGGAGUGAGUUGCGACAACUUCACUGGGCAUGUUGUAAAGCUUGAUCUUCGAAAUCCAUUUCCAUUCGACGAGGAUCGUUUUUAUGAUUCUUCCUCUGGAUCUGAUAAGACUUAUAGUGAAGCAUGUCUUGUAGCAGUUGGAGAGGUAAAUUCUUCGCUCUUAGAGUUGAAACAUUUGAAUUACUUAGACUUGAGUUGGAAUAAUUUUUCUGGAAUAGCAAUCCCAAAGUUCUUUGGGUUAUUCCAUGAAUUAACAUAUCUGAAUCUCUCUACUGCAUGGUUUCGUGGAAAUGUUCCACAUCAUCUUGGAAACCUGUCGACAUUGCAUUCUCUCGAUCUUGGCAAUGAUAUUUUUCUCUUUAGUUAUUAUGAUAAUAUUCCAUCCUUGGUUGUUAACACUUUACAUUGGACCUCUAGUUUAGUAUCUUUAAAACACCUAGUCAUGAGUGGGAUAGAUCUUAGCAAUAUACCUCUUGAUUCUUUUCAAGCAGUUGCUCUUUUUUCGUCUUUGUUGGAGUUACGCUUUUCUUAUUGUUCGUUAGAAAAUAUUCCUCUGUUCCAUUCUACACUUAAGAAUUUUACAUCUCUUCAUAUCUUGGACCUUAGCUACAACAAAUUUCAAGGUCCAAUCCCCAGUGCUAUUCGAAACAUGACUUCGCUUAAAGUCCUCCAACUUUCUGGUAACUUGUUCAAUAAUAGUUCAGUUUUGGAUGAACUGAAGAAUUUAUACAAACUUGAAGUUUUGGACUUGUCGAGUAACAAGUUUGCAGGAAAGAUGUUUGAACGAUUUCCAAAUUUCUCAUCUCCAUCCCUUGGAGAUAAUCUUGAGACAUUGAUAUUGUCUAGAAACAGCCUCACAGGGUAUUUGCCUAAUUGGUUGUACCAGUUGAAGAGUAGUCUAAAAUUUCUUGAUCUUUCAGAUAACUCAUUUGAAGGUCGUAUUCCUACAUCUCUAACCAAAUUAUUUGCUUUGCAAGUACUAGAUCUUAGGCAGAAUCAAUUGAGUGGUGAAAUUCCCAUGUCUUUUGGAACACUUUCCAACUUGAAAACUCUAUUUCUUUCAUAUAAUCAAUUCAAUGGGACAAUUCCUACAAGUCUAGGACAGCUUUCACACUUAACAUACUUACGUCUCGAUGCGAACAAUUUUCAUGGUGUAGUAUCUGAGUUGCACUUUGCUAGACUCUCUAAAUUGAAAGAGUUGGCUUUGAGCGACAUUUCUUUGUCUAUUAAAAUAAUAUCUAGUUGGGUACCUCCCUUUCAUCUCGAGUCACUUUUGUUAGAUUCUUGUGACCUUGGAACUCAGUUUCCGAAUUGGCUACAAAAGCAAACGGGUUUGUACGAUCUGGAUAUGUCUAACUCAAACAUUUCAGAUUCUAUUCCAAAUUGGUUUGAGAACCUUACCUUCCUAAAAUUUCUAGAUCUUUCUGGUAAUCAGAUGUAUGGAAAGGUGCCUAAUUUUAUUUCCCCAAAUAUUGUUUAUUUGUACUUGAGUUCUAACCGAUUUGAAGGUUCAUUUCCCCAAUUCCCUUCAUCCUUAGGAUAUUUGGACCUUUCUGAUAACAUAAUUAGCGGAUCUAUCCCAGCAGACAUAGGUUAUAGGCUCCCUAAGUUAAAACUUCUUCUUCUUUCCAAUAACAAUAUCAAUGGAACCAUCCCUAGUUCACUGUGUAAAAUGUUGUCCUUGUCAUAUCUCGAUUUCUCGAAAAAUCAUUUAUCAGGAGUUCUCCCCAACUGCUUAGGUGAUUUAAAGAGAGUUAUGGUUAUAGAUUUAACAUCCAACAAUUUAUCGGGAACUAUUCAAAGAUCAUUUUGUCAUCAAUCGGUGUAUCUAAGAUCAUUGCACUUGAGCAAAAACAAUUUUCAAGGAGAGUUUCCUUCGGGUUUACAAAACUGCACAAGUUUGAACAUUCUAGAUGUCAGUGAUAACAAGUUUUCUGGAGAGAUUCCCACUUGGAUUGGGCAAAACCUAUAUUCUUUGAGAAUUAUAAAGUUAAGCUCAAACAAGUACAAUGGUAGCCUUUCUCCAAAGCUAUGCCAUUUGAAUCAACUUCAUGUGUUGGACGUUGCAGGCAAUAAUCUAUCUGGGAAUAUUCCGCACUGCUUUGGAAAUUUCAAUCAUAUGCUCUUCAAUCAAACAGAUUUCAGUGACUUUUUUUCUGAAGAUGGAAACUACCAAGACGAGUUAUCUCAAGUAAUCAAAGGAAGAGAACUUGAAUAUACAAAGAACCUGCGAUUUGUAACCAACUUGGAUCUCUCUAAUAACAUUUUCAUCGGUCAGAUUCCUGAACAACUUACAAAUCUCUCUGGAUUGAAUGGUUUGAAUCUAUCAAGAAACCAUUUAACAGGAAGCAUCCCAAAAAAGAUUGGUCAGAUGAGGUCACUGGAAUCUCUUGAUUUAUCAAAUAAUCAUCUUUCAGGCACAAUACCACAAAGCAUUUCAGCAUUAACACUUGUAAGCUACUUGAACUUGUCCAACAACAACUUGUCGGGGCCAAUUCCGUCGGGUAACCAGCUCCAAACCUUAAAUGAUACAUCUAUUUACGAUGGUAACAAUGAACUAUGUGGGCUUCCCCUCGAGAAGAAAUGUAUACCACCUCAAACUCCAACAUAUGUUGAUAGAAAAAGCAAAGGAGAAGACAAAAGAGAUGGAGAUGGGUUCAUAACAAUUUGGUUCUACCUCGGCAUGGUAUCUGGGUGUGUGGUGGGGUUUUGGGGUUUUUGUGGUGUUUUGUUGUUUAAGAAGAGUUGGAGGUAUGCUUAUUUUCAAUUUGUUGAUAGCAUCAUCAUUGGCGACCGGUUGGUUUAUACAGCUGCUAGAAGAAAAGUCCGACGAAGACGCAAUUAAAGCGCAAACAACAUUUGUGUUUUUUGUAUCUAGUUUGGUCUAAACCUGACGGGUUUGUCACAUACUGAUCAGGAUGUAUUACUGUUGGAUAAUUAAUAAAAUUUCAUUUCAUUUGGGUGAUUAUUGUUCUCUAGUAGUAGAUUUGCAAACUAUGUUUCUCAGAUGCAAGAUUUUAGUUUAUCCUAGUUGUAUUAACAACAGUCUUGGCCACAAAAUCAGAGCAUAAAUGAUAGAAGCAAAAUGUAUUGGCGCCUUACAAGCGAACAAAUGAAGUUUCUGAAACCGGCACGAAGUGGUUUGACAUCAAUUUUGUGACAAAGUGUCUUUGGUUAUCUCGCCUUGAGUUCAUUGUUAAGAAAAUCAAGAUGUACGCAUGGUCGUCUCGUGUCUCUUGGUUCUGUCUAGGAAAAGUUAUUGGGUACUGGACGUACGUACCUAGUUAGGACGUACGUACGUCCACUGAGGCAGCAAACAUCUUUUGGUCAGGACGUACGUACGCAGUUAGGACGUUCGUACGUCCAAGCAGGCAGCAAACUUUUACCGUGUGGGGACGUACGAACGUUGAUUCGACGUACGUACGUCCAAUAUUUGCUUUGCAUUCAACUCAUUUGAAGGUCGUAUUCCUACAUCUCUAACCAAAUUAUUUGCUUUGCAAGUACUAGAUCUUAGUCAGAAUCAAUUGAGUGGUGAAAUUCCCAUGUCUUUUGGAACACUUUCCAAAUUGAAAAAUCUAUAUCUUGGUCAGAAUCAAUUCAAUGGGACAAUUCCUACAAGUCUAGGACAACUUUCACACUUAACAUACUUAAGUCUCGAUGCGAACAAUUUUCAUGGUGUAGUAUCUGAGUUGCACUUUGCUAGACUCUCUAAAUUGAAAAGGUUGGCUUUGAGCAACAAUUCUUUGUCUAUUAAAAUAAGAUCUAGUUGGGUACCUCCCUUUCAUCUCGAGUACCUUUUGUUAGAUUCUUGUGACAUUGGACCUCAGUUUCCGAAUUGGCUACAAAAGCAAACGGGUUUGUACCGUCUGUUUAUGUCUAACUCAAACAUUUCAGAUUCUAUUCCAAAUUGGUUUGAGAACCUUACCUUCCUAACAUUUCUAGAUCUUUCUGGUAAUCAGAUGUAUGGAAAGGUGCCUAAUUUUAUUUCCCCAAAUAUUGUGGAGUUGUACUUGAGUUCUAACAGAUUUGAAGGUUCAUUUCCCCAAUUCCCUUCAUCCUUAAGAUCUUUGGACCUUUCUGAUAACAUAAUUAGCGGAUCUAUCCCAACAGACAUAGGUUAUAGGCUCCCUGAGUUAGAAUUUCUUCUUCUUUCCAAUAACAGAUUUAAAGGUUCAUUUCCCCAAUUCCCUUCAUCCUUAAGAUCUUUGGACCUUUCUGAUAACAUAAUUAGCGGAUCUAUCCCAACAGACAUAGGUUAUAGGCUCCCUGGGUUAGAACUUCUUCUUCUUUCCAAUAACAGUAUCAAUGGAACCAUCCCUAGUUCACUGUGUAAAAUGUUGUCCUUGAGAUAUCUCGAUUUCUCGAAAAAUCAUUUAUCAGGAGUUCUCCCCAACUGCUUAGGUGAUUUACAGAGAGUUGAGGUUAUAGAUUUAACAUCCAACAAUUUAUCGGGAACUAUUCAAAGAUCAUUUUGUCAUCAAUCGGAGUAUCUAACAUCAUUGCACUUGAGCAAAAACAAUUUUCAAGGAGAGUUUCCUUCGGGUUUACAAAACUGCACAAGUUUGAGCAUUCUAGAUGUCAGUGAUAACAAGUUUUCUGGAGAGAUUCCCACUUGGAUUGGGCAAAACCUAUAUUCUUUGAGAAUUAUGAAGUUAAGCUCAAACAGGUACAAUGGUAGCCUUUCUCCAAAGCUAUGCCAUUUGAAUCAACUUCAAGUGUUGGAUGUUGCAGACAAUAAUCUGUCUGGGAAUAUUCCGCACUGCUUUGGCAAUUUCAAUCAUAUGCUCUUCAAUCAAACAAAUUUCAGUCGCUUUUCUUCUGAAGGUGGAAACUACCAAGACAAGUUAUCUCAAGUAAUCAAAGGAAGAGAAUUUGAAUAUACAAAGAACCUGCGAUUUGUAACCAACUUGGAUCUCUCUAAUAACAUUUUCAUCGGUCAGAUUCCUGAACAACUUACAAAUCUUUCUGGAUUGAAAGGUUUGAAUCUAUCAAGAAAUCAUUUGAAAGGAAGCAUCCCAAAAAAGAUUGGUCAGAUGAGGUCACUGGAAUCUCUUGAUUUAUCAAAUAAUCAUCUUUCAGGCACAAUACCACAAAGCAUUUCAGCAUUAACACUUGUAAGCUACUUGAAUUUGUCGAACAACAACUUGUCGGGGCCAAUUCCGUCGGGUAACCAGCUCCAAACCUUAAAUGAUACAUCUAUUUACGAUGGUAACAAUGAACUAUGUGGGCUUCCCCUCGAGAAGAAAUGUAUACCACCUCAAACUCCAACAUAUGUUGAUAGAAAAAGCAAAGGAGAAGACAAAAGAGAUGGAGAUGGGUUCAUAACAAUUUGGUUCUACCUCGGCAUGGUGUCUGGGUGUGUGGUGGGGUUUUGGGGUUUUUGUGGUGUUUUGUUGUUUAAGAAGAGUUGGAGGUAUGCUUAUUUUCAGUUUGUUGAUAGCAUCAUCAUUGGCGACCGGGUUGGUUUAUACAGCUGCUAGAAGAAAAGUCCGACGAAGAAGCAAUUAAGGCGCAAACAACAUUUGUGUUUUUUGUAUCUAGUUUGGUCUAAACCUGACGGGGUAGUCACAUACUGAUCAGGAUGUAUUACUGUUGGAUGAUUAAUAAAAUUUCAUUUCAUUUGGGUGAUUAUUGUUCUCUAGGAGUAGAUUUGCAAACUAUGUUUCACAGAUGCAAGAUUUUAGUUUAUCCUAGUUGUAGUAACAACAGUCUUGGCCACAAAAUCAGAGCAUAAAUGAUAGAAGCAAAAUGUAUUGGCGCCUUAUAAGCGAACAAAUGAAGUUUCAACCAAUAUUGUACAGUUAACUUUGAUUUUUGAUUUUUGAUUUUUGAUUUUUGAUUUUUGAUUUUUGUGAUGGAUGAAGAACUAGGCCACUAUUCCUUUUGUGUAAAUUCCGUAUUAAUAUUACAUUCUUCAAAUGCAUUUUGCAGAAAUUUAUUCUUCAGUCCACAUCAAACAGACCCUAAUACAAUGAUGAGCUAUGCUGAACAUAUCAAAAUAUGCUAGCAUUUGAUCUUAGCAUAUAUGUAUGCUUCUGAGGACCCGAGUGAUGUGUCUGCUUUAUAUAAACCGCCACUUUCCUGGUUUAACAUCCAAGUGGGGGAUGACGUUUGAGGAUGAAAACCCAAUAUAUGUGCAAUAUAACAAUAGUAAAGCAAACAAUAAAGCAAUAAACAAACAAAGAACACACGAUAUUUUUAACGUGGUAAAACCCAAUAUGGGAAACGUCCACGGUUGUCCUCGCGACAACAAAUAAAUCCACUAGAUGAAAAGAGAUGUACAAACUUAUCAACUACCUGCAAUCACUGCGAGUUGACACUACUGGUUAUCUCUAACACCUUGACUUCACCGGAGCACCUUGAUGUACGCACAAGACACUCGACUUCUUGAUGAACACACAAGAAGACUCGAAGCCGAACUAUGAAACAAGCUUACACCAGAGUUCCUUGAUGAACACACAAGGAUACUCGACUUCUUGAUGAACACACAAGAAGACUCGAAGCUAAAUCAAUAUAAACAAUAAUGAAGAAGAAGAUGAAUGGGGAAGAAGGAAGAAGAAGAUGAAUGGGGAAGAAGAAGAUGAGUUCAAUCACCAAAGCAACCUAAACCAAAACCUAAACGAACUCCAAAACUAGAGAUGAAUUGGACGGCCAAAGAACUACCUCUCUCAUUGGAGAAGAAAGCUAUUUAAACCUAGGGUUGGAAUAUACAGAAAAUGGGCCUGAUUGGACGAAAUCCAUAUUGGACGUACGUACGUCGAAUCAACGUUCGUACGUCCUCACACGGUGAAAGUUUGCUGCCUGCUUGGACGUACGAUUGUCCUAACUGCGUACGUACGUCCUGACCAAAAGAGGUUUGCUGCCUCAGUGGACGUACGUACGUCCUAAUUAGGUACGUACGUCCAGUACCCAAUAACUUUUCAUAGACACGAACCAAGAGACACGAAGGACACGAGACGACCAUGCGUACAUCUUGAUUUUCUUAACAAUGAUUUCAAGGCGAGAUAACCAAGACUCCUCAUGUCACAAAAUUAAUGUCAAAUAACCGAGUGCCGGUUUCAAUCUCCCCCUUUGACAUUGAUUUUGUGACAAAAACCUAUGACUCUAAUAGCACUUAUAAAACGUGCUUACAAACCCAAACCAUGACAUUUAUAAAACAUGCUUACAAAAACACUAAUAGUAGAAUACAUACCGAGUCACCAACACAUGAUAUCCAGCUUGAGUAAGACGCUUUAACCAUCAGAGACCGAACGGAAGCAACAAGAAAUUCUGAAACAAUCAAAGAGCCAACGAAAGUUCCUCGAACAACUCCCCCAUACUUCAUGAGCUCCAAGGUUUAAUACUCGAGCUUACCCAAAACUGUACAUGCACUUUGUGAUCAUCAUCACUUUCACUCCCCCAUACAUGUUCACUCCCCCAUACAUGAAGUAUACCUGAAACAUGACCCAAAACUGUACAACCUCUAAACAUUAACACGUUCACUCCCCCAUACGUGUAGCAUACCUGAAACAUGACCCAAAAAUACACUAACAAAGAAGAAGAAGGUGUUAGUAUUAGAGUCAUAAAUCUCCCCCUUUUUAUCACAAAUGAUGCAAAGGGGUGACAUAAAUCAAAACGAGAAUAAAGCAAAAUGAACCAAAGAAUAGAAGAAGAGAGGAAAGAGAAAACCAUACCAUAGAUCUGGAAUCCAUGACACGCAAAACUAAAAGACAUGAGAGAGAUCUAGGCAUAUAAAUGAAGAAGAAAGAGUAUCAACACAGACACAAGAAAGGAGAUUAGAUAAGAACCAAAACGAGAUAAGAAGGAGAUAGUGAAAAGACACUGAAUACAUAUAUAGGUAACAGAGGGAAGAAAAGAAAACAUAACAUGAAUCCCUGAUAGAAACCAAGAGAAUCCUAUACAUAGAAGAAAGAGUCAGGACCCAUCAAUCGAAACAAAUGAUUCACUAGAAUAUCACUUUAAUCAACCGACCACAGUCACCUGAGAUAGACUCCAGAGAAACGACUUCUUAGUAGGAAGAAAUCUAGAAAAAAAGAACAAACGAACAAAAAGGACGAAAUACCAUACCCGAUGAAAUCGGCAACGUACACUAAUGACCAAGAACCAAAUAGUCAAACCUGUGAGAAAUGUGCAAGAAAAGAAUAUGCAAAAAGAGAAAGAAGAAGAGAUAAACAAUAGUUAGUAGGAGAUAUGAAAGAGAAUAGGGAAACCAUGCAUACUAGACACAUCCAACAAUAUCCCAUGACAAAACUACAGGAAUAUGAGUAUCUGCAGGAUGAAAUAUGUAAAGUAUAAGAAAAUCCAUUGAGAAUCCAUGGGGAAAUCCAAUCUGUACAUGCUCCUGAAACAACUCAUCCAACCACAAAAAAAAAAAUUAGAGAAUCUCAUAAACAAAGAGAAGAAAAUAUUAUCCAAACACAAUGGAAUAGAGACAUAAAAGGAAUAAACCUGUAAGCCCACCCCUAGUGAAACCCAAAAAUUAGUUCAACAUAUGCCAAACAAGAUAAGCAAUCAUCAAACUCAUAAAAAAAUGCUUUAACGGAAGAAUGAACAAGGAUUAUCGAUGUCACUAAGUCACAAAGCAACAAUCCAACUUCAGAGCAAAUUUCCUGCCAGAACACUAAGACUCCGAUGACAUGCCAUACAUUGUCAGAAAGAUUAGAGAGUCAAUAGAAGAGAAUUGCUAACAAUAGAUGACCAAACUGAGGAUAUGCAUCCCAAAGUAGAACAGUGGUAGCCCAAAACCAUUGCAGGAGGAUUAUUGCAGAAGACUACCAAGAACACAUCUAAUCAAACCUAUUGCAGGAAAAAAUAGGAUCAACCAGGCACAAGAAGCAACAAUAAGAGGAUAGGCAAGUCUCAUAAGUAUUUAAUCACACACCAGCUAGCCAACAAGGUAAUUCAAGAAUAUUAUCCCAACAUAGAAAAGUAUGAUGAGAACCUAUGAGAAAACAUGAAGCAAUAUAAAUCAUGACAAACGAAUACACCAAUAACAUGAUUUCAUCACCAAAAUAUGCUUAUGCAUACCUUGUAGCUUUCUUAAAACAAAUUGAGAACUAUUACCUUGAGAAAUCACAUCAAACACAUGUGAUCCAAUGACAAAAAUAGAAAGCAUGAAGGUUAAAACCAAAUAAUACUAACAACCUGACCUUAGUAUGUCAAUGAAACACCGACUGAAAAGAAUUACCAAGGAUUGGAGCCAAAAUAGAGUAAGCCAUAAACACUUUCAGCAAGAACAUCUACCUGUAAAGUUACUGAGAGAAAAAUAAAGUUGACGACACGCACAGUGUCCACGAACCUGCAUACAGUAGAAAAGAGCAGUCUAAGUGGUGAUAGCAACAACCAAUGUUAGAACAACAAGCAUACAAGAAUCCGAAGGAAUGACGCCUCUACUCCUUUGAGCACGAGGAGGACGUGUGCCCGAGGACGAAGCACCCUUGGAACCGGGUGUUUCUUUGGUGGGAGUAGUCCGAGCUCGCUUAGGAGGCAUGUCCUGCAUACCCAGAACAUGAACCAAUCGAAGAAUGUUAGAAAACACUCUAAGUAACAACCAAAACAGGUGAGAAUUUUCAUUUAGGCAUUUGAGCAAACACUUGGUGUGCAAUAGAGAACUAACCGUAACAAUAGAAAAACAAACCGAAUAACUAACAACACAAAUAUUGAGAGACAUCACAUGAAAAAAUUUCUAAGUAUUGUAAGGAUUCCGAUUAAAGCACAAAUACAAUUUGAACAAGCCUCAACCAUGAGAAAAGGCAAGAACGAAGAACUAAAUCAUACACCAAACCACGGUAGUCAAAAGAAUGAUGCAAGUAUGCAGGAGAAGCAGGGUAGUCCUAUACCAAAAUCCGGAAACAAACCAAAACUAAGAUCAAUGAGUAUUUUGAAAGUCACUUGCAAUUGGACAAAUAUAAAAGUGAACCAGAUCACAACAAAACCAAGGAAACACUGUCUAGGCCGCAAUACGGAAAGACCCUGGUUCAAACACAAUGAACAUUUUUAUUGGUUUUAUCCAUGUAAAACAAAUGUCAUUCUCUUGUGGGAGUAUAGUACACCUCCAUCUUUUACCAAAACACGAGGGUAGGGUGUAGCCUACAUCUUUUCGGCAAAACACACUCAAGAAGUGCAAUACCAUGGUAACGUGCAACACAAGAACUAACAUCUCCUGAGUGCAUCCGUCAGAGCAUGACCCUCACAGCCCCAACGGGUUCCUAGCCAACUGAUAAUGCGCCUAAGACAUUCAAAUGGCUGGGGAUUUUGUGAGUCAUUGACCACUUACAAGAGGUAUAUAUAAAAAGAGUGAUGACCAUGAAGAAAACAGAAGCUAGAGAUGAUGCCAGAUGAUCAUUUCUUAAUCAUACAAGGAUCAAGGUAUAAAAAUACUCUAAAAAUCCCACAACAUGCAAAUGCAUCAUGCAGUAAACCACCAAAGGCAAAGGGAGUAUGAUGCAGCCCUACAACAAUCCUUGACAGGAAUCCACAGUUGAAGUUACCAAACUAUAACUAGCCAAAAAUAAUGGAAUCCAAACAAUAAAUAGACUAGUAUGUUCUCAACACCUAAGACAAAGCCUAUAUAAGAGAGAUAAUAAAAGAACCUAAACCUCCCAAACAAAUUGCAACUUAUUUAAGACAAUUGAAUUAAACAAAUAUCUCAGAAACGAUGCAUCCAACAACACAUACAUGGAAUAAAAAAAAAAUAGAAGGAAUAACCAACAACCCUUUUUUUUUUAUUAACAAUGUAUUCAGACAUGCAGCAUGAUCUGCAAGCUAGACAACCAAAGCAUAAAAAAAUAGAAGCACCAAACAAAUAGCCUAUGUGGUUAGAGAAAUAUGCAAUUUAAAUAACACAAGGCUAGAAACAAACUACAUCAUCCCAAAUGUGGGACACCACCAGACCUUUGCAAGUCCAGAAAAACCUUCAACUUAUCCUUUCUUACCCAUACUUGUUUAACACUAGGCGUGAACACCUUGGGAAUUGAAAAGAUAUGAGAUCUCCCCUUAACAAGCUUUGCAAUAGACUUGUCCUUAACUAAUUCCACCUUAGUCUUUGACUUCCUUUUGUUGGAGUAUCUAUUUCUCUUAAACCUAUGACAAUAAACAUUAGAAUUCCAAGGUCUAGAAAACGCACAAGAAGGAACAUAAGAAUCAACAAGAUUAUAAUUAUAAGGAACAUGAGAAUAACAUUUAACAUGUUGAUUAAAAUCCCAACAAAAGAUAUCCAAAUGACCAUCUCUACCACAAUAAGAACAAUGAAAAUUAUUAGAUUUUCUCAAACAAGUCUUAUAAGAAAAUGCAGUAGUGGUGGAUAAACCAUGUAUGUCACUAUUUGGUUUAUGACAUUGUCCCUUAACAAAACCCAUACCUCCCCUAUUAGAACAAGAUGGCUUACCAGCAAAAGCAACCUUAUCAUUAGCCUUAGACUUAAACUUUGUGCGAGAAACAUGCUGAAAACUAUUAGUAUUAAGUCUAGUCUCAAUAGGCGAGGUAGGCAAAAGAGCAGGCAAACUAGAUUUUACAGAAGUAGUCACACUAGAUGAACUAGUAGAACUAGCAAUAGGAGAGUCAAAUCUAGUUUUGUCAAAAACCUGCAAUUUGAGUUGAGUAGACGUUAAAUCGUUCUUUGUUACCUCAUACUCCACCAAUAGAGAUUUGUAUUUCUCAUCGACCUCCUGAUUGGCCUUCUCUAAAGCUGCAAUUCUACAUAACAAGUCAAGUUUUUCUUUUUCAAAUAAUUGAGAAAUAGAAAUUGCACCAUCUGCAGCAGAAAGAAUUUGUUUUUCAAGAGUUUCGAUUUUAUCCUGCAAAGUAAGAUUAGCCUUAUCCAAUUUUUUAAUUUUGGAUUCAUAAACUUCCCCUUGAAGCAUAUAGUCUUCUACACAAUGUCUGAGUCGUUGUUCUAGAGAAUCAACCUUAUUCUGCAAAACACCAUUAUCUUCAAAACAAAAAUUAUCAGAAAUAGUAGACAAAUUACAAUUAGCUUUAUUAAACUUUUCCUGCAAAUCAAUAUUAGCUUUUUGUAAUCUGUCACAUUCUUUUGCAGAAAGUCUGUAAAGAAGAGCCCAAUCACUAUUGCUAACAACAUACAAAUUAUCAUCAUUUUCAAAAUUAGAUUUUGGUUUUGUAGAUUUAGACGAUUUAGUAAUAAAAUUAUUAUAACCAGACUCAUGAACCAUUAUUGCACUCAUAGGAUCUACGCGUGAGCCAUUACGCUCCAUAACAAGCGCCCUACGACUGAUACCAAUUGAAAACCCAAUAUAUGUGCAAUAUAACAAUAAUAAAGCAAACAGUAAAACAAUAAACAAAUAAAGAACACACAAAAAUUUUUAACGUGGUAAAACCCAAUAUGGGAAACAUCCACGGUUGUCCUCGCGACAACAAAUAAAUCCACUAGAUGAAAAGAGAUUUACAAACCUAUCAACUACCUGCAAUCACUACGAGUUGACACUCCUGGUUAUUUCUAACACCUUGACUUCACCAGAGUACCUUGAUGUACGCACAAGACACUCGACUUCUUGAUGAACACACAAGAAGACUCGAAGCCGAUCUAUGUAGCAAGCUUACACCAGAGUUCCUUGAUGAACACACAAGGAUACUCGACUUCUUGAUGAACACACAAGAAGACUCGAAGCUAAAUCAAUAUAAACAAUGAUAGGAAGAUGAAUUGGGGAAGGAUAGAAGAUAGAAGUACACAAAGAUCAACUGAGGAAGAAGAUGAUCUUUGUGGAAGAGCCAACAAACAAACUAGGGUUCUAUAGAGGCUAGGUUGGAACUCUUGCCUUUCACAUAACACCAACGACCUAUUUAUAACCUAGGGUUUGAAACAAGAGAAAAUGAGCCGAAAUAGACAAAACACAUAUUGGACGUACGUACGUCGAAACAGCGUACGUACGUCCUGAGACGUAAAUAGUUCGCUGCCUACUUGGACGUACGAACGCCCUAACUAGGUACCUACGUCCUGAGCAAAACAUGUUUGCUGCCUAACAUGACGAACGUACGCCCUAACUAGGUACGUACGUCCUAAACCCAAAAACAGACUUUUGAUACACUUGACGCGAAGACAAAGACUCGGGAUGACGCGCGUACAACGAGGUUUUCCUAACAAUGAACUCAAGGCGAGAUAACCAUGGACAUCCAAUAUCACAAAAUUAAUGUCAAACAAUCGAGUGUCGGUUUCAUAGAUAACCAUUUGACACCCCUUUAAGGACUAAAACAGACGACUUUUCUCUUUCUUGAUCUCUUUUAACGCAGUAAAAGGUGAAGUUUGAUCAAAUAAGUGGAAUUAGAAGGGGGCUGUGGUUAGAUGAGAUAAGUCUGCUGCAGAAUUAAAUAAAACUUUGGGCAGUACAUUUGAUUUGACAUCAUUGUGAGUUUGUGACAGCUUACAUAAUACAAGAGACAUAUAUAAAGUGUAUUAACAUGGUCAUAGAAUUAGCAUUUUCGAUUAAGUAAUGGUCAAAUAAACUUAUAAAUAAAUCAUGAGAUUUUUGGACAUACCCCCAUUUGAAAGUCGAAAUUUGUGAUACCCGAUUUGAAAAAAAAAAUUGAGAUACCUCCCAAUUCAAGACAGAAGAGCUUUCCGGCCGUAGGUGAGUUUUAUGAUGGACGGCUAAGACAUCUACAUGAGAUAUUCAUACAGUAUGAUUAUAAAUGACAUGAUGUAUUAUUUCAAAUGCUCUUAAUUAUAGUACUGAAACGUUUUCAAAUACUAACAUGAAUGCUUACUAGCAGUGGUGUAUAUCAUCCAGCUGUUUAUAUUGAUUACUGAGAAAACUUGUAUGCUUUAUUUUGAAAAUUAAAUAACAUAGUGCUGUUCAUAAUGUUACUGUGGUGGUUCUCUUUCUCUAAUUUGAUGAAUAUAAUUUGGCUCUUGACAUUGUAGGACAUGGAAUUCGGGUCUUCAAAUGAUGACAUUCGAAUUGAAGUCCUAUCUCGAGUACCAGUCAAAUCUCUCCUUACAUCUAAGUGUGUCUCCAAACGGUGGCAAGGCAUUAUUUCUGAAACUUCGUUUCAAAGACUUCAUUGUCGAAGGACAAAACCUAUUAUCUCCGGGUUCUUCUUCCAAUGUUUGAUGAGAUGCAACAUGUCAAGUAUGUUUCCAUUUGUAACGACCAAGUCACUGUGCAGAACACAAUCCUGAAUUUCAUUCCUCAUAAUUUCCGUCUUAUUGCCUCAAGCAAUGGGCUUAUUUGUUGUCGUAACUUUGGGAUUGGUGCGCAAUUUGUUUUCAUUUGCAACCCAUUGAAAAGGGAAUUCCUCCAAAUAAAGGGGCCGAAGGGUAUUAAUGGACGUAGACUCAGAGGCCUUGGGUUUGUUUUUGACCCACUGUGUUAUUCUUUGGAUGGGACUCCUAGCUUUAAGAUAGUUAGCGUCAGUAAGAAAAAGGGGUUUGUCUUCUCUUUCCACAUUUAUUCAUCUAAGGUAAGGGAGUGGAGAUUAUCGGAGGAGAUCUAUUAUGAUGACUGUGAUUUGUCUCUUGGUGGCCUGGGAAUUUUCGCUGGCGGAGUGUUUUACUGGUUGACUGGUGGGAAUGUAGUCAUGGCAUUUGAUUUAGAAAAGGGCAAGUCCAAGUGCAUAGAUUUAACAGUUCCCAGGAUACAGAGAAAUGAGGGACUUUGUGAAAUGUGCAUUGGGGAGUCUGAAGGCUGUUUUUACUAUAUUCUAAUUACUGAUGCUGAUCUUCGAGUCUGGGCUCUGAAUAGUGAACACAGGUGGUUACUUAAGCACUCAAUAUCCUUGACAGCAAUUUAGGAACAGCACCCAAAUUUCCUGUAUAAGGAAGGAAAAAUUGCGUCAGGAAUAGUUGUGGGUGGAUUAAUAUUGCCAACAUGGAUUGAACCUAUAGCUUUCAAGGAUGGAAAUUUGCUUGUGAAGUUGCGUUGCCGUUUCAACUAUGAACGUGGAGGCCUUGAAGUUUGCACCAAGAUAUACUUGUAUAACUUGGAUGCUGGAACAAUGAAGGAACUCUGCGUCCUUGAGGAAUUGGGACUCCCCGUUGGUUAUUUAAGAACAAUUCCUUAUUGCAUGAGUUUUGCACCAUUGCUAUCUACUUAGGUAGCAGAGGAAGUUACUAUCUGGAACUUUCAGCAGACUGUGCUCGAAGACGGUGAAGAAAUCAGCAAUUCCAUCGUUUAUCAGCAAUACUGUUGAAGUACCUAGUUGGGUGUAUGUUAAAUAAGGUGUGUUAGAGGGAACUUGUGCACUUGUGUGCAAGGGUCUUCAUUCUGUUUGUUUUUCUAUGUUGUCCAUGUUAUGUGGCAGACUAUAGCUGUUGGUACGUUUGUAUUGGCUUAAGUGAUUUCAAGUUUGUGUCCUUAAUGUACUAGAUAUUUACCAUGGUUAAAUAAGAGAUCUGUAACUCAUCUCUUUCAAGGCAAGUGCUAGAUUUUUAACUCAUCUCUUAAUGCCAAUGUUUUCAUGUUUAAAGAUCUUGGGAUAUCCACACUAUUAAAAUUCAGCAAAGGGUAAAAAAGAGUACAUGAUGCUACCUACAAAUGUGCUCCAGAUGCUGCAACAGGCUAAUGUUGGCUUCACAGGUGUAAAUAACCUUGAGACAGAUGGCCUGAAUCUGAUGAUAAUCAUAUGAUGGUGGGACCUGGGAAGAUAAAUUAGCUAUUUUCGUCCCCUAACUUUGCCCAAAUUUUCAGUUGAGUCCCCAAAAUUUAAAUUGGUCAAUUUGGUCUCAAAUCUUUCGAAAUGUUUGCAAAAUGAUCUCACCAUUACCAAGCAUUUAAUAAUUCUCUUUUUAACAAAAUGGGUUCUAUUUUUACACAGUUUGGGUUUGGGUUUGUGUUCUAUUUUUAAACAAUAUGAUGUUGCGCUUGCCACUCACGUACUCUGCUGACCUGGCAAAAAAAAAUAUUAAAAUUUGAAUUUAACAGACCACUAGACAACUUUGUGAAGUGUGCAUUGGGGAGUCUGAAGACUGUCUUCACUAUAUUAUUAUUGCUAGGGCUGCUCUUCAAGUUUGGGUCCUGAGUUGCGAUCACAAGUGGUCACUUAAGCACUUGAUAUUUUUAGCCAAAAUGGAGGAAGAGUACCCAUAUUUCCUCUAUAUUGAAGGAAAAAUAUCUGCAGUUAUGGAUGUGGGCGGAGUAAAUUUGCCAACAUGAACUGAACCUUUAGCAUUCAAGGAUGGAUUUUUGCUUAUAAAGUUAUGUUGCCAUUUCAGCUGCACCCUGAUAUACAUGUACAACCCUGAUGCUGGAACAAUGGAGACACUAAUCACCCUUGAGGAAAUGGGGCUCCCUGUUGGUUACUUAAGGACGCUUCCUUAUUGCAUGAGUUUGGCACCUAUGCAAUCUAUCUAAGUCACAACAUGAGAUCAAAAUACUAGAAGCACAAACAGUCUCGGCAAAUGAUGUGGCAUUUGUGCAAGGGAAGCAGAAACAUCCCUGGAGGGUUAAUCACAUGAUGAGAAGAAUCAAAGCAUUGCUAGGGCAGAUGGAACACUUUCACUUGAAGCAUGUUUACCGAGAAACUAAUCAACUAGCUGAUGUUUUAGCUAGUACUAUUCCGAAUGUUAGCUACAUUGGCAUUGUACCUAGCUCCUUUUCUAAGGAUGUAAGAAAGAUUGUAUUUGAUGAUGCCAAUGGCAAAACUUAUAUGAGAUUGUAACCAGCUUUUUUGAUAAAUGAAACAUGGUAGGGGACCUUAGCAACAACCCCGCUUGCCUAUCAAAGAAAAAAAUCUACCCAAGUGUCAGCAUUCAGCAAGAGAUGGUGAAGGAAUCUCAUUGGAUGGUAUUGGAAAUUUCAGUAACUAAUACUCUGUACUGGAAUGAUACCUCAUCUGAGAGAUUUUGGUUCUAAACUUUUUGGCUGUAUCACCUGCUUAACUGGUGGUCAUUUUGUGUUUUGUUUUCGGUUUUCCUAUGCUAUGUAACAGAAGUAUUAUGUUUCUGGUAAUAAUAAUGUCAGUGGUAUUUGGCUUUUGCUACAUGUUUGACCAAGCUUUUGACAAGGUUUUUAGAGUGCAUUAUGAUGAGUUCUCCGUUAUGAUACUACAGUACAAUAGUACAUAACACAGGUGUUGACCUCCUUUCUAAAAAAUAAAGAAGAAACAGCAGUAUCAAUUAAUAGAUUCUAAUCACUGGAUACAUUCCAAUUCCUUUGAAGAUCAUACUAGCUGACUGUGGUCUGUAAAACUGAUUUCCUGGCAAGUAUGUUCAAUUGCACAAAGUAAAUGAAUAUGAACGUUCUCAGCUUCAUGAAGUUCAUUGUAUCGAAAUUCCAAUUCAUUAAAUCAUUAGUUCAUUGUAUCGAAAUUCCAAUUCAUUAAAUCAUUAGCCCAAUAAAACUUAUUAUUUAAAAAUAAUGCCCAAUAAGUUCAUUGUAUCGAAAUUCCAAUUCAUUAAAUCAUUAGUUCAUUGUAUCGAAAUUAUUGGGUAUUAUUUUUAAAUAAUAAGUUUUAUUUUUUUAUUUUUUUACUAAAACAAAUUUUAUUGAUAAGCUCAAAGAAUUACACGAAAGUAGAGGACAAAUUUAUUUAUAAAUAAAAGAGAUUUUGGCACUUACCCCCUCAUUUGAAAGUCGAAAUUUGGAUUCCCCCUCCCCAUUUGAAAAAUAUAUAGCAGUUACCCCCCCCCCCCCCCCCCAAUUGGAUGGAAAAAAUAGAUGGUGUUACGAAAAUUAAUUUUUGAAUUUUCAUAAAAUAAUAUAUUUUGAUAAUACCAAAAUUACCCUUCUUUAUACAUGUAAAUAAUAACACAUAAUUAGUAAACCCCCUACUGAAACAUACAUAAUUAACAAUACCCCCAAAUCAAUUUGCAAAAAAAUUUGAAGGAGAAGAUGAAUUUUUACGAAAGAAAAUAAAAUUUGUUUGAGAAAUUUGUUAAAAAUAAUAGUAGAUACAUGUUUCCCUCAAUCACCCAUACUUUUUUUCUAAUUGUUAGCUUUAAAUUUAAAGAACUGAAAUUUAUUUGAGAAAAGUUAGGUUUAUUUAUAAACUUUUGGGAAUUUUGGAUUUUUGGGGAAGACAACAAAGUUGACAGUUAGAUUAAGUACUAAAUAGAUGGGAUAAGAUUUAUGACAGAUGUCAUUAUUAUCAGAAUAAAAAAGGUAUUUUUGGUAUUAUUAAAAUAUUUUAUAUAUUUUAAAAAAAUUCAAAAAUUGAUUUUUGUAACAUUGUCUAUUUUUUCCGUCCAAUUGGGGUAACUGCUAUAAAACCCUCGGUGUAAAUUUACACAACAUAAAACCUCACUAUUUCCGACCAAAAAAAAAAAAAAAAAAAUCCAAUAGUGAGGAUCUAUAUUCCAAAUGUUAAUUGGAGUUACUAGUCUGGUAGCCCAUAGAAGGGAUGCUUUUUUCGUUUAGGUUUUAUUAUUUUGGUCUGUCAGCAGUCAGUAGUUCCAUGUUAGAAGUUAGAACUUCAAAUACUCACGGUAUCCAGUGUAAGCCUAAAUUUAAGUAUUUAACUACGAUUACUGAGAUGUAUGUUGAAAAGAAAACCAUCUCUUACUUCAAAGAAUUCUUCUUCAAAACAUCAUCACAUUUAUAUUAAUAAAAAAGAAUACCGAAUGAACUGGACACUGACAUAUAUUACGAAAUUUACUAUGUUAUGAUACGUGCAAAUGGAGAUUCGUAUGUCUUACAUAUGAAGCAUUGGUGGCAUGUCUCCAUCUAUAUCAGAACCAAUAUAUGAUGACACAGUCGCUAACUGGUAGCUCUUUCAUUAUGUGUUUGUGCAGAACUUUGAGGAGAAUUUGUCUCUUGGAUAAACCUGAAGUUCUUUCUCUGAGCUUCAGUUUAUAGGUGUUGAAAGAUUCGUCUCGAUCUUUUAUUCUCUUUCUUUCAAAGGUAUUGCUAUAUGGCUUCCUGUAAUGCUUUUAGAUGCCAACUUAAGUGACCAAUAGACUACAUGGAGAAGUCUGAGGAGGAACUUUCCACUUCCAACUUCCAUGCAUGUUAACAACUACAUAAAAUGGAAGUUGCAGGUAGAUCAUCUUAACUUACCUUAGCCUAGACUUUCUUCUUUCUUGAUAUAUAACAAAUUAUUUGAAAGUGAAAUCCAACAGAUACAUAAACUCUAGGCCAGUUGUCACUAAAGAGUAAUAGCAGACUAUAACUAUCAACAGAGGCAACUAAUUCCCACAAUCUAUUCUUACUUGAUUGAGUAACGAUUCAGGUGGUUGCACUCCAUUUGAUUGCAUUUCAUACAAAAACUUGAUGCCCUCAUUGUAGAAUCCAUUUUGCGCGUAACCAGUUAGCAUUGCAUUCCAACACACAUUGUUUGUUCUCUUCUCGUACCUCCUUGCCAUUUCAAACAAUUUUCUUGCAUCUUUCACCAUACCACAUUUACCAUACAUGUCAACCAAACUACAUUGAACAAACUGAUCCGAUUCAAUCCCAAGUUUGAUAGCAUUGCAAUGUACUUGCCUGCCACCCCCCUCAUCUCCCAUUCUCCCACAUGCCCUGAUAACACUUGACAAUGUGAAGUUGUUCUUCUUGGAACCUGAUCUUCCCAUCUCUUCAAAAACCUCAAGAACCUCCUUAAAAUGCUCCUCUCUACUAUACACGACAAUCAUAUUUGUCCACACCACAGUAUCGCGUAAUUCCAUCUUGUCAAAGAUGCAUCUUGCACUACUAACGCAUCCAAGCUUUCCAUAAAAAUUAAUCAACAAGCUACCUAUAAAUAAAUCAUCCGAACAACCACCUCCUUUGUUAAAAAUCCUUUUAUCCAUCUUUACUACCAAUCCAUGAAUUUGUGUUCCGAGUUCAAAAUCACCUGUCUGAAUACACGCUCGAAGAACACAAUCGACAAUCAAACCCCACAUUGAUGCGUCCUCAAGUAAUCCACAUUGCUCUUGCAUCAGUUUAAACAAAGUGAGUGUCUCAACAUGUUCCCCAUUAUCAAAAUGACCAGCAAUCAUAGUCGCCCAUAUAAUAGAGUCCUUUAAAAGCAUUUUAUCAAACAGUUGGUGAGCAGAAUCCAAACGUCCACAAGAUACAUACAUAAGCAAUAAACGAUUUGCUAAUAGCAAUGUAGUUGAUAUCCAUUUUGGGUCAUGUGAGAGUAAACUUGGGAACCACUUUCAGCAUCUCUUAAUUGGGUACAUUCUUUUAACAAGUAAGCAUAAACAUCUAAUGGAAUAGAUAAAUGUAGGCUAUCCAUUAGGCUUAAAAUGUCGCAAACACCCGCAUUGGCAUUACUACUACUGCUGCUACUAUUUUUAUUUUUAUUUUUGGUCUGAACGGGGUAUGUUGAUUUGAUGUGGACUGGUGGUGAUGGGUAGAAGGAGAUUUUGGGUUUCGGAGGAUGGUGCAAGGGUGGAAGAAAUUGAAGUGGACAAGGGUUUAUAAUAUGAGUAGGGUAAAUUGGUGAGAAGGUGGUGCUGAUAAUAAUUUCAUUCACUUUGAUUUUGAUGUUUUGGUUGAUUGAUUGAUUGCUUGCUUGCUUAAUAAUGCAAUUGUCUUCUUCACCUCAAGUCCUCAAACCACACAGUCACACAGUCACACUCACACCAAAAAAGUUUCCAAACGGUAAUAGACUCAAGACUCAUGACAGCCACAAUUAAGAGAUAAGCAGGCCACUGGACGAUCAAAAUGUGUGAUAAAUAGACUUUUUAUGAGUCUAUGCUAAAAAAUGAGUGAUAAUCAGAAACCAGUUGGUCAGUUUUUGAAUCAAGUAAACCCCCAUCAACUUCUUCAUGGACAUAGCUUGGAUUUUUAGUAGACUUCAGCAACUUGCUCUAUCGGAGAAAAAACCUUAUAAAAUGGCUUGGGGAGAUGUUCAUUUGAAAAUACAUCAAAACAUUUUCUUUGUUAGAAAUGGCAUUUCUAAAAUCCAUUAUACUUGUGUUUAUUGUCUUCUGUUUUAUAGAAACAAUUCAGCUCGGUUGGAAUGUGGACGGUGCUCGUUUGAAUUGUCCACAAAACGAAAGAAAUGCACUUCUCAGUUUCAAACAAGGUCUGAUUGAUCAAACAAAUAGACUUUCCUCUUGGGUAGGCCAAGAUUGCUGCAAAUGGAAAGGAGUGAGUUGCGACAACUUCACUGGGCAUGUUGUAAAGCUUGAUCUUCGAAAUCCAUUUCCAUUCGACGUGGAUCGUUUUUUGGAUUCUUUCUCUAGAUCUGAUAAGACUUAUAGUGAAGCAUGUCUUGUAGCAGUUGGAGAGGUAAAUUCUUCGCUCUUAGAGUUGAAACAUUUGAAUUACUUAGACUUGAGCUGGAAUAAUUUUUCUGGAAUAGCAAUCCCAAAGUUCUUUGGGUUAUUCCAUGAAUUAACAUAUCUGAAUCUCUCUACUGCAUGGUUUGGUGGAAUUGUUCCACAUCAUCUUGGAAACCUGUCGACAUUGCAUUCUCUCGAUCUUACCACUCACGAUAUUUUUCUCUUUAGUUUUUAUGAUUAUAUUCCAUCCUUGGUUGUUAACACUUUACAUUGGACCUCUAGUUUAGUAUCUUUAAAACACCUAGUCAUGAGUGGGAUAGAUCUUAGCAAUAUACCUCUUGAUUCUUUUCAAGCAGUUGCUCUUUUUUCGUCUUUGUUGGAGUUACGCUUUUCUCAUUGUUCGUUAGAAAAUAUUCCUCUGUUCCAUUCUACACUUAAGAAUUUUACAUCUCUUACCAUCUUGGACCUUAGCUACAACAAAUUUCAAGGUCCAAUCCCCAGUGCUAUUCGAAACAUGACUUCGCUUAAAGUCCUCCAACUUUCUGGUAACUCGUUCAAUAAUAGUUCAGUUUUGGAUCUUACAUCUCUUACCAUCUUGGACCUUAGCUGGAACUAUUUGCAAGGUCCAAUCCCCAGUGCUAUUCGAAACAUGACUUCGCUUAUAGUCCUCCAACUUUCUCAUAACUCUUUCAAUAAUAGUUCAGUUUUGGAUCUUACAUCUCUUACCAUCUUGGACCUUAGUUGGAACUAUUUGCAAGGUCCAAUUCCCAGUGCUAUUCGAAACAUGACUUCGCUUAAAGUCCUCCAACUUUCUGAUAACUGGUUCAAUAAUAGUUUAGUUUUGGAUGAACUGAAGAAUUUAUACACACUUGAAGUUUUGGACUUGUCGAGUAACAAGUUUGCAGGAAAGAUGUUUGAACGAUUUCCAAAUUUCUCAUCUCCAUCCCUUAGAGAUAAUCUUGAGACAUUGAUAUUGUCUAGAAACAGACUCACAGGGUAUUUGCCUAAUUGGUUGUACCAGUUGAAGAGUAGUCUAAAAUUUCUUGAUCUUUCAGGUAACUCAUUUGAAGGUCGUAUUCCUACAUCUCUAACCAAAUUAUUUGCUUUGCAAGUACUAGAUCUUAGUCAUAAUCAAUUGAGUGGUGAAAUUCCCAUGUCUUUUGGAACACUUUCCAACUUGAAAAAUCUAGUUCUUUCUUAUAAUCAAUUCAAUGGGACAAUUCCUACAAGUCUAGGACAACUUUCACACUUAACAUACUUAAGUCUCGAUGCGAACAAUUUUCAUGGUGUAGUAUCUGAGUUGCACUUUGCUAGACUCUCUAAAUUGAAAAGGUUGGUUUUGAGCUACAAUUCUUUGUCUAUUAAAAUAAGAUCUAGUUGGGUACCUCCCUUUCAUCUCGAGUUACUUUCGUUAGGUUCUUGUGACAUUGGACCUCAGUUUCCGAAUUGGCUACAAAAGCAAACGGGUUUGUACUAUCUGGAUAUGUCUAACUCAAACAUUUCAGAUUCUAUUCCAAAUUGGUUUGAGAACCUUACCUUCCUAAAUUUUCUAGAUCUUUCUGGUAAUCAGAUGUAUGGAAAGGUGCCUAAUUUUAUUUCCACAAAUAUUGCGAAUUUGUACUUGAGUUCUAACAGAUUUGAAGGUUCAUUUCCCCAAUUCCCUUCAUCCUUAACAGAUUUGGACCUUUCUGAUAACAUAAUUAGCGGAUCUAUCCCAACAGACAUAGGUUAUAGGCUCCCUGAGUUACAAUUUCUUCAUCUUUCCAAUAACAGUAUCAAUGGAACCAUCCCUAGUUCACUGUGUAAAAUGUUGUUCUUGAGAUAUCUCGAUUUCUCGAAAAAUCAUUUAUCAGGAGUUCUCCCCAACUGCUUAGGUGAUUUACAGGGAGUAGUGGUUAUAGAUUUAACAUCCAACAAUUUAUCGGGAACUAUUCAAAGAUCAGUUUGUCAUCAAGCGGAGUCUCUAACAUCAUUGCACUUGAGCAAAAACAAUUUUCAAGGAGAGUUUCCUUCGAGUUUACAAAACUGCACAAGGUUGAGCGUUCUAGAUGUCAGUAUAACAAGUUUUCUGGAGAGAUUCCCACUUGGAUUGGGCAAAGCCUAUAUUCUUUGAGAAUUUUAAAGUUAAGCUCAAACAAGUACAAUGGUAGCCUUUCUCCAAAGCUAUGCCAUUUGAAUCAACUUCAAGUGUUGGACGUUGCAGGCAAUAAUCUAUCUGGGAAUAUUCCUCACUGCUUUGGCAAUUUCAGCGCGAUGAUCUUCAAUCAAACAGAUUUCAAUGGCUUUUAUCUUCUUCAUGGAUACCAAGACAAGUUAUCUCAAGUAAUCAAAGGAAGAGAACUUGAAUAUACAAAUAACCUGCGAUUUGUAACCAACUUGGAUCUCUCUAAUAACAUUUUCAUCGGUCAGAUUCCUAAACAACUUACAAAUCUUUCUGGAUUGAAUAGUUUGAAUCUAUCAAGAAAUCAUUUGAAAGGAAGCAUCCCAAAAAAGAUUGGUCAGAUGAGGUCACUGGAAUCUCUUGAUUUAUCAUAUAAUCAUCUUUCAGGCACAAUACCACAAAGCAUUUCAGCAUUAACACUUGUAAGCUACUUGAAUUUGUCCAACAACAACUUGUCGGGGCCAAUUCCGUCGGGUAACCAGCUCCAAACCUUAAAUGAUACAUCUAUUUACGAUGGUAACAAUGAACUAUGUGGGCUUCCCCUCGAGAAGAAAUGUAUACCACCUCAAACUCCAACAUAUGUUGAUAGAAAAAGCAAAGGAGAAGACAAAAGAGAUGGAGAUGGGUUCAUAACAAUUUGGUUCUACCUCGGCAUGGUGUCUGGGUGUGUGGUGGGGUUUUGGGGUUUUUGUGGUGUUUUGUUGUUCAAGAAGAAUUGGAGGUAUGCUUAUUUUCAGUUUGUUGAUAGCAUCAUCAUUGGCGACCGGUUGGUUUAUACAGCUGCUAGAAGAAAAGUCCGACGAAGACGCAAUUAAAGCGCAAACAACAUUUGUGCUUUUUGUAUCUAGUUUGGUCUAAACCUGACGGGUUUGUCACAUACUGAUCAGGAUGUAUUACUGUUGGAUGAUUAAUAAAAUUUCAUUUCAUUUGGGUGAUUAUUGUUCUCUAGGAGUAGAUUUGCAAACUAUGUUUCACAGAUGCAAGAUUUUAGUUUAUCCUAGUUGUAUUAACAACAGUCUUGGCCACAAAAUCAGAGCAUAAAUGAUAGAAGCAAAAUGUAUUGGCGCCUUAUAAGCGAACAAAUGAAGUUUCAACCAACAUACAGUUAACUGAUUUUUGAUUUUUGAUUUUUGUGAUGGAUGAAGAACUAGGCCACUAUUCCUUUUGUGUAAAUUAAUAUUACAUUCUUCAAAUGCAUUUUGCAGAAAUUUAUUCUUCAGUCCACAUCAAACAGACUCUAAUACAAUGAUGAGCUAUGCUGAACAUAUCAAAAUAUGCUAGCAUUUGAUCUUAGCAUAUAUGUAUGCUUCUGAGGACCCGAGUGAUGUGUCUGCUUUAUAUAAACCGCCACUUUCCUGGUUUAACAUCCAAGCGGGGGAUGACGUUUGAGGAUACACUAUGAGUCUAUGACUAUGCCCUCACAUAAGUUCAAGAGAGGAGAAGAAAAGGAUGAAAGGAAUUUGAAUCAAACACUACAAAUAUACAGUCUAAGUUCAAGGGGGAACAAAGAACAGUAAUGGAAUGCAAUUAUUUUUUAUGAGUAUGCCCUGAAUGCGCACAACAAAAGCCUACUUGUUGUUUAUCCAGACUCUUGUAAUUAUCUUUCAAAGAGCUACAAGAAUGAUUUCGGCAUUCCCUUGAAACAACCAACCUUACAAAAAUACAGAAACAAGAUCAACUGCCAUGUCACUUGAUAUUGGAAGAAAUGGGAACAAUUACAUCGUACAUACUGUAUGCUUCAGAACUCAGAUUAGGCUGAAGUAAUAGAACUAUGGGUCCAUUUGAUUGGUCACGCCAAAUAUUCCCGGGGAAGUAUCAGGUUUAACACAAUUUUGAGAACAAAAAGGUGAGUUAUCUCCCAAAAUAACAGCCGAAAGGUCCUGCUUUUGUCCGAAUUGUUGUCCCUGAUUCUAUACAUAUUACACCCUCGAAACUCUCUAUAGCAACAAUUCCCAGACAUAUCUACUACUACUACUGCUACUAGCAUUUAUGCAUUGAGCUCACUUUACCACAGAUGAUUCUGUUUCGUAAAUCUUAGUACAUACCACAUAUUGAAAGGAAAUAAUUAACUUUUCUCUUUGUUUUUUCAUGUAAUUAUUUAAUAUUCUGAACACCCUUUUAAUGAAAUUCUCCUACUCUAUCCAACAAGAUUGCAACAGCACUUUAUCUGUAAUUCCUUUCUAUAGAGAGACUGGCCGUACGAAAAUUCAAAGUCGAGUGUAUGAUAAUUGAUCUAUAUAUGGAUUGGAAUUGAAGAGACGUUGUUUUCAGACUUGUCAAAUUUUAAAGAGUUCCAACUAUUAUCUUGACAAUCAAAUACCCUUGAAACAACCAAUCUCACACACAACAACAAGAUCAACCGCCACCGCCACGUCAUUAUUUUACAAGUAGCUGUCUACCUAAACUUUAACUGCCAAAAUUAAAGUGUCUUUUGUAAAAAAAAAAUUAACUAGGCCUGCUAAAAUACAUCGCCUACUUGCUAUAUUUUAGUCAGUCUACCAUUAAAAAACCUCACCUAAACAUAAACCGAAAAUAAAUCAGAGUAAUGUUUACUUUUUGCUCUCAAACCAGAGUACCAGACUAUAGACAAAACAACAACAUUUACAAUAAAUCAGUUUCAGAUACACUUUAUCUAAAAAAAACGAGAACAGACCAAAGGAGGAAAUGUUUUCCUUGUGAAUUAAAAUCAUGCCAUAUACAGAACAUAUUUUCAGGUUUUCAGCAAAAGCAAAAUACACAAAUACGAGAUAUAGAAUGGAUAUAAUGCAUUAACCAGGAAAAAUCAAAGGUUUUUGUUAUGCAAGUAAGUUUGGUACACAAAUUGAGCACUUACAAUAUCAACAACAGCAGAACCAACAGACUUGAACAGAAGGAUUGAAGAGUUGAUUGAAGAUGUUGAAUUAGAAUUGGGUAUUUGAAGAUUGAUUGUAAGGUGACAUUAUUAAGGAAGAUUGGGUUUGAUUCAAUGUUUUGAGGGUUUUCUUGAAACCUUUCCUUGCAGUUGGAUUACAGACUAAAAGUCAUACUGAGGCUGUUCUGUGCAUUAAUCAGAUUAUUGAAACCUUUCCUUGCAGUUGGAUUAUACAGUUUAUCACUCUCACAAAAUGCAAGUACGUAAAAUAAAAAAGAAAAAUCGAAAUUAAAAGAUCAAACAAGACAAAACUAGUACUGCAGAGAACCAGACAAAUAAAAAAAAUUGCCCAACUCAUAGCAGUGCAUUAAUGUGCUUCUAAAUUCUGAUACUUCCUUUAUUUCAUGUGAAUUCCCGUUGUUUACACCAAUGGAACAGCUAUUUACUGAGUAUAUUAUGAUUACGAUGAAAGGCGGAAUGAACAAGAGCAGAAGUGAUUUGUAAAGACCUUUUUCAUUUAGCCGUAUAUCCUAAAAUGAUCAUUAUGUUCUCCUUCAAUCAAAACUCAUGAGAACAAAUGAGUUCAUCCAAAACAGAUAUCCAGUCAAGUAGGCAGGUUACUGCUUGAGAAGGCUAUGAAAUGCUUUCAGAAUCCUUUUACAUCAAAGCUUUCAAGGAUCCCCUCCUCCAAACUAACCAAGCAAGAAUCUGAAUAUAUCACUCAGUGAAAUGAUGCCUUCAACUCGCUUGCUACCAGCCUCCACGAUGAUAAGCCGUCUCACCCCUGAAAAAUCAAAAGUGGUCCAACAAAAUCAGCGAAUAUCAAGUUACAGUAUACACUAAUUCAACAAAAAGAGCUAAAAAUACACAAAGCUUUACCUGGAUUAGCCAAUUUUUCCAUCACCUUGUGCAGAGAAUCAGAUCGCAGACACAUUUGACAUCGUUGUCCAUUAAAGAAGCUAUGAGGAGAAUUUGCAUCUUGUCCCAGCUGUAAUGCCUUGAAAAUAUAAAAAAAAAAGGUUGGUUGAGCACUACUUACCCUGGACAAUCACGCAUAAGAUACAUUCAUCAUGCAAAAUGGGAUGAAUAUAUGAGGUGCAAAAUCAAAUUGGCCUGGAUGUGCAAUUCUCCAAUAAAAACGAUUCAUCAUGCAAAAUGGGAUGAAUAUAUGAGGUGCAAAAUCAAAUUGGCCUGGAUGUGCAAUUCUCCAAUAAAAAC